UUUGGAAACAAAUGUUGAGGGCCUUGUUCUUCACCACCAGGAAACACAGUCAUCAUCUGGUACAACAUGGUUUCACCCAGAGAGAAACGGCUGGCGUUUUUCGUAUCCCAGCCACAAGGCAGAUGGUCAAGUUUUGUGUUCUCAUUGACCUGCAGAUAAUCGGAGGUAUUUUUUUGGCGAUAUUUCAACAACCAGCCAUCCAAAAGGAAGGUGGUCGCAUUUAUUUGCUGGGUUAUCUUAUUAUCCCGAUCAACGGAUUUCUCGUGUGUGCCCUUCGUUAAACCGAAAGCACUUCAGUAGUUAAUUCAUACCAUUGGUGGUGAUGGUGAUGGUCGUCUGACGAAGUGCAAUACUAUGUAGAAGUGAGACAAAAGGGAACCGAACUUUUUGAUGUGUUCCUUUCAGUAAUUGAAUGCCAUGUCUACUGAAGCUAGACUGCCUUGGCCCUUGAUUGAUGAUUCGAUUUGUUCUGGUAAACUAAGAGAUAUAUUAGAUGAGAUAGUGUUUGCCCUUUUUGUUGUCUUUGCUCUGUUUGGGGCUUUCUUUGAACUGUACAUCUCCCAGUUAAGCAAACAGCGUGUGCCGUUUUGGAACUUGACAAAAUAAGCUCGGCGCCAUCCAUCUCGUAAUAUCGUUGAACUGCUUUUGCCCUUUUCUGUCCUCCGCUCUGUUUCUGGAUUUCUUUCAACUCUAGAUUCUGCAGUUAAGUAAACAGGGCGUGCAGAACCGCCGAUAUAGAACUUUGCAAGAUAAGCUAAGGCGACAUCUCUUAAGCUGGUUGAAGUGCUGUAAGGCGCUGCAGGCCUUCUUGCAAGGACGUGAGCGCGCGAGAGUCCUAGAGUUGAGUGACAGACUGAUCACCAGAGGAAGGACUCUGCAUCUCACAAGACGAGAAGAAAGAACUGCAACAGCAAUAUGUAGAUUCAAAGGCGCAGUGUCCAGCACGGAGGGUUCGCUUAGGGGAUUGCCCUGUCAGCUGUAGCCUGUGGGCAAUAUGCUCGUAGGCUGACAAGCCAUUGAGCGCGACGCCGUUGAUGAUUGCUUCCAGAGCAUAGCACAUCACUGAGUGCGCCGUGGCUUCCGUCCUUCCACCCGUUUCUGUCCCAGGCCCAGCGCUCAUAUCAUGUCGACUCGAUCCUCUUUCCCGUCUUGCGCAGGCCAGAAGCUCUUCCUGAGGCCACGCCAUGGAAGGAGGCUCCUCUUGCAGAAGGUAGGAGUAAUAAUCUCUUCAAUCAAACUCGUUUGCUCGUGCUGGACGUACGCGUAACUCGUCUGCUCUCCGAUCCUCAGGGUCGCCCUGGUGACAGGGGCCAACAGAGGGAUCGGGCUGGAGGUGUGCAGGCAGCUCGCGUCCGGCAGCGCCACGGUCGUCCUGACGGCCAGGGACGAGAAGAGGGGCGCCGCCGCGGUCGACGCGCUCCGGGAGCUCGGACUGUCAGACGUCGUGUUCUGUCAGCUGGACGUCGGCGAGCCGUCCAGCGCCGCUCGUCUGGCGGACUUCCUCAGGGAUAGGUUUGGCAGGCUAGACAUACUGGUACGGCUUGGUUUCCACCUUGUCCCACUGAUUUCUCAAAUGGUUUCUGCUGGGAUUGUUUUUUUUUUUGAAACGGAGGCAAAAGUUUUGCCUCAUCGAUUAAUUAAGAAGAAGAGAAUUGUGAGUGCCUUGUGCUUUGCCUUUGCAGGUGAAUAACGCGGGAGUCUCCGGGGUGAGAAUGGACGUCGGAGACCCCGCAGCUCUUCACCAAGUGGUUAGCUUAGCUUAGCCCUUCUUGUUUAAUUUCUGAGACGGCGCUGAUGAAUUAAAUUACAUCAGAUAUAAGCUAAUCAGUUUGCAAAUAACCAUUACGGGAUUAUGGGAAUGUUUUGAACAAAGUAUGUACAUAGGAGACCCUGCAGUUCUUCACCUAGUGGUUAGCUUAGCUUAGCCCUUCUUCUUUCUCAGCCCACGCAUUAGAUAUAAAUCAAUCACUUUGCAAAUAACUGUUCACGGGAUUAUCAAAAUGUUUCGAACAAAGUAUGCAAAUGACCGAUGUCGAUUCCAAAAGUUAGUGCUACAAUCGGGGCUUCAAAACACCAAUCCACCAAGCAAAGGUGACAUAUGCACAUUGAGAAGACCAUAACAAAUAGUAUCCGAACAGAGUCGAGUACCUCAUUACUUGAAAGGAGAACAUGUCUCGUUCCUGCCACUUAGGUGAAGAGAAAAUUCUUGAUUUGCACAUUAAAAGGCACCCCAUUUUACACGAAAACUAUUGUCUUUCAGAAUAUUACUAAUGGGGAUUUCUUGAUUUGCUCCUACAUCAAUGACAGCGUACGAGCAUGAGUGCAGCGGAGAGGCUCGAGUGGUUCAACCAGAGGACGGCAGAGCCUUUCGAGGAGGCAGAAGAAUGCCUAAGAACAAACUACCACGGCACCAAAAAUGUGACGGAGGCGCUGCUUCCUCUGCUUCUAUCCUCCUCUGAUGCAAGGGUUGUUAACGUCUCCUCUUCCUAUGGGUUACUAAGGGUAAUCUCUCCAAUCUAAAAUGAGUAUCUUGUACUUCUUCCGUCCCAUAAUGUAAGACGUUUUUUUGACACUACCACUAGUGUUAAAAAACUUACUACAUUAUGAGACAGAGAGAGUAGAUAUCUCAUGAACUAAAUUGCAUUUUUGGAACUAGUAUUUCAGCGGAGAAGAACUUAAACACGAGCUUGACGACAUCGACAACCUAUCCGCGGAGAGGCUGGACGAACUGUCGGGGCUGUUUCUCAAGGACUUCAAGAAUGGCCGGCUGGAUCACCGUGGAUGGCCAGUUGGAGGGUUCUCGGCCUACAAAGUGUCCAAGGCCCUGAUCAAUGCUUACACAAGAAUUCUCGCCAAGAAGCACACCUCUAUGCGCCUCAACUGUUUAGAUCCUGGCUAUGUUAAGACAGACAUCAAUUUCCACACCGGGGUUCUGACCGUGGAGGAAGGCGCGAGAGGCCCUGUGAUGCUGGCACUCAUGCCAAAGGAAGGGCCGACGGGAUCCUACUUCAAUGGCACAGAACAAGCAGCCUUCAUGUAGCGAUUGCAUUUUUCUUGUGCUCUGGGUGUUAUCCGUAACUUAUGCCCUGGUGAACUACGAGUAUAUUUUCUUAAGAUGAUUCAUGUUAUAUAUACUGUACUACUCCCUCGGUCCUGAAAUUCUUGUCACGGUGGCAAUUUUGGAAAAACCCCUUUGGCAAAUUCCUGACACAACCCGCACUCCCCGCGUCUCCCCUGCGCGGGAGCUCCUCUAGUCGGCUCCCCUGUGCGUCAUCGGAGCUCCCCCGCCCCACGCCUCCGCCGCAUUGCUUCCCCCUCUUCGUUCCCCAUGGUGAACCAUGGCGAGGAGAAGGCUCACUUUUUUUCAAUCUGGCCCUGCCCGUCCGACGGUGGCGUCCUUCCCCGAGGGUGGUGAGCCGGAGCUGGCCCUGCCCUUCGUCGACCCCCUCCUCGCCGGCUGGCAGCCGUCGACCACGAAGCCAAUCCCCGCCUCGCCGGCCAGCAGCCACCACUAUCUGUUGGAAUUUUGCUAGUAGGCCUUUGGCCCAAAGCCCAACUAAAAUUCUGAAAUUCUCUUGGCCCAUUCAUGCACACAUGUGAGUGGAGUGAGUGAGACUAAAGUUUAGUCCCACCCCGGAAGUUGAGAGAGAGUUGCACCUCUUUAUAAGGUGAGCUCUUCUACCACUUGUAUGAGCAUGAGAAGAGGAGACCUACACGCGCUACUCCUCCUCGCUCGGCGCGCCGCGGGUUACGGGAUUGAGCCGAGCCGAGGACAGAGCUAUGCACGUUGUCUAUAUUUUUGCUGCUCGGGAAAAAUUAAUGAGUCAUUAAUUAAUAAUUAAUGGACGCGUUAAUUACUGAACCGUUUCCGAUUCUUUUGGUUCGUGACGACUCGGACGUGGGGUUUACUCCCACGACCUACCCGGCCCGCACUAUAUAGUCAGGCAGACGUCUACCCUAGCCGCCGUCGCUUUGUAUGGUUUCUCACCACCGUUCCAGAUCAUUGCGCCGCCAAGCAAGUCUUCUCCAUCCCUCCUUUCGGCGUGCACCGGGAGAAGGGACAGCAGGCCUCCGGAACCCGCCUCUCGUGAUCAUGUACGGGAGAGGGGCGAUCAGAUUUUUGGGGAGCGCACUCGCGUGACUGCUGGCAGCGACGACUUCGCGAACGACGACUUCUUCCCUGACCUCGGCAACCUCAUCCUCGACGACAUGGGCGACAACGUCAACACUGGCGGUGCUGCACCCGCUGCACCGUAUGUUAUUCUAUCCUUCUUGUUCGAGAUCGUGGUAGAAUUCAUGUUUUUAGUAUGUGCCCUAGAUGUGAUCUAUUCAUCUACUAUGCUAGUUCGCACGAUUAGUUUAAUCUCUGCUAUUGCUGUCAUGGUGUAUUUCCUAUUUAUUCAAAUUAAAUCUCGUAGUAAUUUGCUCAUUUUUCCAACAAUCCAAAAACCUGAUUAUAGGCAAUUUACUCCGAGUGGUUUUGCUGCGCAUCUGAAGCCGCCUGCCUUUAAGGGGGCGCAAUAUAAGAGGUGGCGCAGGAGAGCAGUCUACUGGUUUCAGACUAUGGGUUGCUAUGACGCCACCAAGGGCAAGCCUGAGGGCGAUCUUAAUCCAGCACAGCUGGAAGCUUUCGAGAAGAUCGAUACCCUCUUUAAAGGCACUCUUCUGAGUGUUCUUGAUGACUCCAUUGUGAAUUCGUAUAUGUCGUUUGACAAUGACAAGGACAUGUGGGUUGCGCUCGAGGCCAAGUUUGGUGCCUCGGACGCCGGCAGCGAGUUGUACAUUAUGGAGCAAUUCUAUGACUACAAGAUGACUGAUGAGCGCCCUGUUGUACAGCAGGCUCAUGAGAUACAGUCACUCGCAAAAGAACUUGAGUACUUCAAGUGUGUGUUGCCGGACAAAUUUGUUGCCGGAGGCAUCAUUGCCAAGCUUCCACCUUCGUGGAACAAUUUUGCUACUUCUCUGAAACACAAGAGACAUGAGUUUUUCGUUGCGCAUCUCAUUGGUACUCUUGAUGUUGAAGAGAAGGCGAGAGCAAGGGACACACGUGCUCGAGUUGCUGAGGAAGGUUCUAGUGCCCACAUGGUACAGAAGAAGAACUUCCAGCCCAACAAGUUAAAAAACAAUAAGAACAAAACUCAGGGCAAAGGCAAGUUUGAUACAAAGAACAAGCCAUCACAUUCUACCAACUUCAAGAAGAAUUAUCAUAAGAAGGGGAAGAGACUUUGCCAUGUCUGCGGUGAUCCUAAUCACUGGGCUCCGAAGUGUCCUAACCACUUUGAGGAGCGCGAACAUGAGAAGAGCGGCAAGUCCGCUAAUGUUGUCAUCGGUGAUACUGAUAUGAAGGAAUCAGGGUAUGGUAUUUUUCCUACCAUCCUUUCAGUAUUCCAAAGCCCUGAUUGGUUAAUUAACACCGGUGCCAAUGUACAUGUUUGUGCUGACGCCUCCAUGUUUUCUUAUUACCUGGCCACUGGGACUUCUCCCGUGCUGAUGGGGAACGGGUCACAUGCCAUCGUCGAGGUGUUGGUACGGUCGAUUUGAAGUUUACUUCGGGGAAGACCGUGCGUCUGAAGAACGUUCAUCAUGUGUCUUUCAUCAAUAAAAAUCUCGUUAGCGGUUCCCGUUUAUGUCGAGAUGGUUUUAAGUUGGUUUUCGAAUCCAAUAAAGUUGUAAUUUCUAAGUAUGGACAAUUUGUUGGAAAAGGCUAUGAGAGAGGAGGCUUGUUCCGCCUGUCUUUGUCAGAUAUUUGCACUAAAGUUAUUAAUAAUGUUUGCCACAACAAUGAGUCUGAUAUUUGGCAUUCACGACUUUGUCACAUUAACUUUGGUUGCAUGACGCGGCUAGCCAAUAUGAAUUUAAUUCCGAAAAUCUCUACUGUCAAAGGCUCUAAGUGCCAAGUAUGUGUGCAAGCUAAGCAACCUCGCAAGUCCCAUAAGACUGCAGAGGCAAGAGACUUGGCGCCACUAGAGCUUAUACAUUCUGAUCUUUGUGAGAUGAAUGGCAUAUUGACAAAAGGUGGAAAGAGAUACUUCAUGACGUUGAUUGAUGACUCCACUAGAUAUUGUUAUGUGUAUCUUCUGAAAUCAAAAGAUGAGGCUUUGACUUUCUUCAAAAACUAUAAAGCUGAGGCAGAGAACCAACUUGAUCGAAAAAUUAAACGGCUUAGGUCCAAUCGUGGUGGAGAGUAUUUUUCCAAUGAAUUUGAUCUGUUUUGUGCGGAACAUGGUAUAAUCCAUGAGAGGACACCUCCCUACUCACCCCAGUCAAAUGGGGUAGCCCAAAGAAAGAACCGAACUCUAACUGAUAUGGUUAACACCAUGUUAGACACUUCGGGUCUAUCCAAGGAAUGGUGGGGGGAGGCGCUAAUGAUUGUGUGUCAUGUCCUAAACCGAGUUCUCACAAAGCAUAAGACCAUGACUCCAUUUGAGGAAUGGGAAAGGAAAAGGUUGAAACUCUCUUACCUACAUACUUGGGGUUGUUUGGCAAAAGUCAAUAUACCAAUUCCCAAGAAGCGCAAGCUUGGACCAAAAACCGUGGAUUGUGUUCUUCUGGGUUAUGAUUUUCAUAGCAUCGGCUAUAGAUUUUUUAUAAUAAAAUCUGAGGUAUCCGACAUGCAUGCUGGUACGAUUAUGGAGUCGAAUGAUGCAACUUUCUUUGAGGACAUAUUUCCUAUGAAGGAUAUGUCGAGUUCAUCAAAUCAGGAGAUACCUACUCCAUCUAGUGAGGAAUUCACUGUAAUUCCUGAACCCACCAUUGCGAUGGAACACGUUGAGAAUCCUGUUGAGGGUAACAAUGUAACUCCUGUGAGGAGUAAGAGACAGAGGACUGCAAAGUACUUUGGCGAUGAUUUCAUUGUGUACCUCGUGGAUGACACACCCAGGACUAUUUCAGAAGCCUAUGCAUCUCCUGACGCUGACUACUGGAAGGAAGCUGUACGUAGCGAGAUGGAUUCCAUCUUAGCUAACUAUACCUGGGAGAUCACUGACCGUCCUUAUGGGUGCAAACCUGUAGGAUGUAAGUGGUUGUUCAAGAAGAAGCUUAGACCUGAUGGUACGAUUGAAAAGUACAAGGCACGGCUUGUGGCCAAGGGUUAUACCCAGAAAGAAGGUGAAGACUUCUUUGAUACUUACUCACCCAUGGCUAGACUGACCACAAUUCGGGUGCUACUAUCACUGGCUGCCUCACAUGGUCUUCUCGUUCAUCAAAUGGAUGUUAAGACAACUUUCCUCAAUGGAGAGUUGAAGGAGGAAAUUUACAUGGAUCAGCUAGAUGGUUUUGUAGUACCUUGUCAGGAAGGAAAGGUGUGCAAGUUAUUAAAGUCUUUAUAUGGUGUUAAACAAGCUCCUAAAGAGUGGCAUGAGAAGUUCAAAAGAACAUUAACUGCUGCCGGCUUUGUAGUAAAUGAUGGUGACAAGUGCGUGUACUAUCGCUAUGAUGGGGGCGAAGGAGUUAUUCUUUGUCUGUAUGUCGAUGACAUAUUGAUCUUUGGAACCAAACUUGAUUUAAGCAAGGAGGUUAAGGAUUUCUUAUCUCGCUGUUUUGAGAUGAAGGAUCUAGGAGUAGCUGAUGUUAUCUUAAACAUCAAGCUGUUGAGAGAUGAGAAUGGUGGGAUCACACUGCUUCAGUCUCACUAUGUGGAAAAGGUCUUGAGUCGUUUUGGGUAUAGCGACUGCACACCUUCUCCAACUCCAUAUGAUGCUAGUGUGUUGCUUCGAAAGAAUCGAUGGAUUGCUAGAGAUCAACUGAGGUAUUCUCAGAUUAUUGGCUCGCUUAUGUAUUUGACGAGUGCCACGAGGCCUGACAUCUCGUUUGCUGUUAGCAAGCUGAGUCGGUUUGUGUCAAAACCGGGAGAUGAUCAUUAGCAUGCGCUUGAGAGAGUUAUGCGCUAUUUGAAAGGCACCGCGAGCUAUGGGAUUCACUACACCGGGUAUCCAAGGGUACCUGAGGGUUAUAGUGACUCAAACUGGAUAUCUGAUGCUGAUGAGAUUAAGGCCACAAGUGGUUAUGUUUUUACACUUGGUGGUGGCGCUGUUUCUUGGAAGUCUUGCAAGCAGACCAUCUUAACGAGGUCAACUAUGGAAGCAGAACUCACAGCAUUAGACACUGCCACUGUUGAAGCAGAGUGGCUUCGUGAGCUCUUGAUGGACUUACCUAUGGUUGAAAAACCAAUACCCCCUAUCCUGAUGAACUGUGAUAAUCAAACUGUGAUCGUCAAGAUAAACAGUUCCAAGGACAAUAUGAAGUCCUCAAGGCAUGUGAAGAGGAGACUGAAAUCUGUCAGAAAAUUGAGGAACUCCGGAGUUAUUACGUUAGAUUAUAUCCAAACAUCGAAAAAUUUGGCAGAUCCCUUCACAAAGGGUCUAUCACGUAAUGUGAUAGAUAAUGCAUCGAUGGAGAUGGGUCUGAGACCCACCGCAUGAGUUGUCCAUAGUGGUAACCCACUAUGUGAUCGGAGAUCCCGUGAAGUAGAAGUGGGAGACAAGCUGUUGGUCAGCUGAGAGGAGAGUAUCCCUAUAUUACCUAUCCCACUCCAUGAAGAUGCAAUACUCUCCUGAUCUGCAUGGCAGGUUGAUACUUAUUUUAAUGUGUUCCAAGUGGCUUAUUAGGGUAAGUAAAGAUGUUGUCCUGCAGAACAUCUUCUGAAGAACACACCUAUAUGAAUUUGACUGUUAACGUCGCAGUCUGUGAGAAUUGGGUGUUCUCUAAUAUAUUCAUGAAAAGGCCCUAGAGUAUGACGUAUACACUCCACCCGCGGGGAAGCCUUGCGGCAGCCCAGUAUCGGUCAAGAAUUUGUGUGAAACUAGUCUCGCAGAAAACUUGUAGUUCAAGGCAUAGUCCACUAUUCAAGUUGUGAUCUAGUGUAGCAUAAAUCUCUAAGUGAAAGUUCAACUUCACAGUCUCCACUAAGAACCGGUAUAUAAACAAUGUUUUGGAACUAAAUGAUGAGAUGUGCCAAUGAGACUUUGUGGGGGAUUGUUGGAAUUUUGCUAGUAGGCCUUUGGCCCAAAGCCCAACUAAAAUUCUGAAAUUCUCUUGGCCCAUUCAUGCACACAUGUGAGUGAAGUGAGUGAGACUAAAGUUUAGUCUCACCCCGGAAGUUGAGAGAGAGUUGCACCUCUUUAUAAGGUGAGCUCUUCUACCACUUGUAUGAGCAUGAGAAGAGGAGACCUACACGCGCGCUCCUCCUCCUCGCUUGCCUCUCCACGCCACGCCUCAUCACGACGCGCCGCGGGUUGCAGGAUUGAGCCGAGCCGAGGACAGAGCUAUGCACAUUGUCUAUAUUUUUGCUGCUCGAUAAAAAUUAAUGAGUCAUUAGUUAAUAAUUAAUGGACCCGUUAAUUACUGAACCGUUUCCGAUUCUUUUGGAUCGUGAUGACUUGGACGUGGGGUUUACUCCCACGACCUACCCGGCCCGCACUACAUAGUUAGGCAGACGUCUACCCUAGCCGCCGCCGCUUCGUAUGGUUUCUCACCACCAUUCCAGAUCAUUGCGCCGCCAAGCAAGUCUUCUCCAUCCCUCCUUUCGGCGUGCACCGGGAGAAGGGACAACAGGCCUCCGGAACCCCGCCUCUCGUGAUCCUGUGUGGGAGAGGGGCGAUCAGAUUUUUGGGAAGCGCACUCGCGCGACUGCUGGCAGCGACGACUUCGCGAACGACAACUUCUUCCCCGACCUCGGCAACCUCAUCCUCAACGACAUGGGCGACAACGUCAACGCCGGUGGUGCUGCACCCGCUGCACCAUAUGUUAUUCUAUCCUUCUUGUUCAAGAUCGUGGUAGAAUUCAUGUUUUUAGUAUGUGCCCUAGAUGUGAUCUGUGCAUCUACUAUGCUAGUUCGCAUGAUUAGUUUAAUCUCUGCUAUUGCUGUCAUGAUCUAUUUCCUAUUUAUUUGGAUUAAAUCUCGUAGUAAUUUGCUCAUUUUUCCAACACUAUCCACCUCGCUGUCCACCGUCCACCACUAUCCACUAGAGUCGGCAGAAGCUCUCCUCCGGCGGCAGCAGCAACCAUCCCCGCCUUCGCCGUCCAGCAGCCCCAACUGCCGCCUCCCGCGACAACAGAGCAAGGUGAGGAUGCUUGACUGAAUCCCAAAAAUGUCAAAACUGAAAAUUUGAGUACUGUACUCACCGUGAAACUGAGAUCUGCUUGUACUAUCAUAAUUUUCCAUUUUGAAACUAAGAUCUGCUUGUACUGUCAUAAUUUUCAGUUUGUAAAAUUGGAGUACUGCAGAAGUGUAUUUUCCAUUUUGAAACUGAAAAUAAACUGUCAAAACUGAAAAUUUGCAAGAGCUUUGCUAGCAGUCCUUUUUUUGAACUGUCCAGCGAAAGGAACAUGGUUAAGUAGGAGGUGUUGCCAAUCAGUUAGUAGCAUAAUUAGUUAAUUACUAAGCUGGAGAAUUUUUGCUAUAUUUAGGACAAUCCAUGAGGUAUACUUAGAUACAAAAAAUUAUGUUUGUAUGUUGUUUAACCCUGACCUGUUCAGUACAGGCGAGCACCUAGAUUGAAUUCUGAUUCCAUCAUGAUUUUCAUUGGCUGAAUGUUCUGCAAUAUGCAUGUUGAUAAUCAUGCAGGUGAGCCAAUUUCACAGAAUUUUUUUCCUAAUCAAUUUGCAAGAGGUCACCAAAUAUGGCAGGAACAAAGUGUAAGGUAACUACUCCAAGUUGCCUUUGCAUGGUUAGUCAAGUUGUACUCCCAAGUGUCUAGUAGUGCAAACACUUGCACUCUCAAGUGACUAGGAGUAUGACAAAUUCAGUCUGAAUUUAAACAUUGUGACAAGAAAACUGAAAUUUUAUGAAAAGAAAAUAUUAUGUGGAGUGUUUGCUUGCUUUUAGUUUGAAAUUUUAGCUCAUUCAGUGAAAAAACUUGAGCAAUUAUUUGCAGGAGUGAUAAACUUGACAAGAGUAUUCCUACCUACUGGAGUACUCCCUCCAUUCCCUUAUACAUGGCCACUUCAUUUUUCGUGUUGAACUUUGACUUAUAAUUUUGAUCAACAAAUAUUGAUUAUAUGCCAUCACAAAUAUAUCAUCAGAAAGUUCUUUGAAACGUGCAUCCAAUGAAAUAAUUUUGUUGGCAUAUAACUCACUUUUUUAGUAAAAUUAAUGGUCAAAGUUAGACAUAAGAAUGUGAAGUGGCCUUGCAUAAGGGAAUAGAGGGAGUAAUUAUUCAUUGACACAAGUAAUUGAUUACACAAGAUCAUACAUGGAUUACAUAGGGAUUUUAAUUUCAAAGGUAUCAUAUCCAGGCUUUUCAUCCGUUUGUCCUCUAAUUUGGCAUAUUCAGACACAUUCAGUUAUUUAGCACAUUCGGUUAUUUAUACACAUUCAGUUAAACAUAUGGAACAGAUACUCCAUAUUCAGGCAUUCAGAUACUUCAUAUUUUGACAUCCAGUUAAACAUUCAGAUGAGAGAAAGACAGCUACUAUUAAAAUGCUUUGGCAUGCUUGUCUGAAUGCCUGUGGCAUAUGCCAAAUUCCACAAAGUCUGAAGUCCCAAAGUGCCAGGUCAAAGAAAAUCCAGUAGCAUAUCAUGAUCAAUUUACCGAUUUCCUGAUUGAGUGCUUCUAAAAUAGUAGUAGAUCAAUUAACAUCAUGUCAUUUUCUGAUUGGAUGUUUCCAAAAUUAACAUGAUCAAUUUAACAUCGUGCCUAGCAGCAGGAAUACCAGUAGCAGCAGCAGAGGCAAGGCAGACGAGGUUGCCCAGAGGAGGGGCGAUUUCGUGUGAGGUCGAAGCAGCAACAACAGUAGGCAUUGGCGGCGGGGGCAAGGAGAGGACAUUGCGAGAGGCCCGUGUGACAGCAGGGUGGCGGCGUGCGAGGGGCUGGGUGGUUGCGUGUGGCGGCGUUGGUCACUCCGAUCACGUGCAACCAAAACGAAAAGGCUCAUGAGAUCCGAUCCAAUCAAUUCCAUGCGUCUGUGUCCCAGUAGUUUUGAAUUCCUUGUAUGGACCAUCAGUUUCAUUUAUAGGAAAAGUUGCAGUAAAGCUCCCAUGCGGGUGCACCCUUAGGGCACGUGGCAUAUGGAUACAGAUGUCCCAUUGAUAAAAAGUAGAUUUAGGAAUUUAUGUUGAUUUUUUUCUUCACAGUGCAAGCUACUACUAAUGGGCAUCAUCAAGAAAUAUAAAGUAGACUCUCACAACACAUGAAUCCCUACUCUCCAGUUCAACUUUUCCAACUUUAUGCAUCGGACCAUACUUUUUCUCUCCAAGCGCCCGCCUCCUACAGGGGAUCCCACUUCCCUAUCCGAACCUACUUUUCCUGCAUUUGAUCCUACAUGGCAUGUGAGGCAUCAUCCUGGGUCUAUGCAUUGGUCAUGCCCUAGACCAUCCAAUUUCUACGGACAAAAGUCUGUCUCUUAGCCGGUGAUGGCAACACCUGUGGAUGUUGCUUCCUUGUUAAAGGCAUCACCAAGCAAUUUUCGCAUCUACCAUGCUCUCGAGUUCGGUCUCCGGGUGAAAACCGAGAUUUGCUUGUCGGAUCGGCGAUGGCGGCGCUCUUGGUGUUGUUUCUUCGAUGGAAGCAUUGUUUUGGAGAUUUGACCUCUUGGCAUGAGCUCCUUGUCUGUGGUUUAGUGGUUGGCCGGAGCUUCCAAUGGUGCAAUGUCCGUGGUGGUGCACAAGGUUGUGGCCAACACUUGGCUGGCGGUGUUGCACGAUUUGAGCACUCUUAACAUGCAGGCAAUGCUAGACAAGUCAGGUUGGUUGUCCUCGCGGGAUCGGAGCGGCACAUGCCCGCUCCUCUAUCGGAUAUGUCUUCUCUCUCCGGUGUCGAGGAGGCCUUCCAACAUGCUUGUGGCAGUCAUGAUCAUUACGACGGAAUGGUGCUCUUGGGUGAAGUCUCGGUGAAGUCGAAGUCGCCGGGCCAUGAGCGCGGAUGGUGAUAUACGAUGACAUCAACCUCCUUAGCGAUGUGCCUUUCUGUUUGUGUUGUGUUGGCUCGGCCUUUUGGCAUGUUUGUAUGUCUCAUGUGCUUUAGACCUAGUUCAGCUAGGUGUUGUGGGUGGUGUGUCUUCUGUACAGGUUUUCACCCGGUUUCCCUUGAUAAACCGAGCAGUCUUAGCCAUCGGCUUCUUCUUCUCCAAUGAAAUCUUAGCAGCUCUCCUGCUAACUUUUGAAAAAAAAUUGCAUCAAAGUUCAUACACGUAGAAAUUUCCCCUUUUUGUUUCUCAACAAGAAAACAUUUGGACUCAAAUCUGUACAGUUCAACAUCACACAAGCAUUCCUAUGAGCAGAAAUUGUUUCAGAUUAUUAGGACCAUCUGAAAUAUCUGAAAUGAUAGCUUCAUUCUAAAUUCUCACAUUUAAGAAAUUUAUGUUCCACCAAAAAAUUAAAAACAUUUUCUGCAUAGAAUGCUACCUGUGUGACUGUUGACUUGCCAAGUUUCAAGUUCGAUGCCUUCUAGUUUGAAAUAAAUGAAAAGGAAAGUUUCUAUGCAGAGAUGGUACCACUAGUAGAAAAAUGGGCUUUCUUUCGGACCUGGCCAGCCCAUUAGUCCCGGUUCUUCCAUGAACCAGGACCAAUAGAUGCAUUCGUCCUGGUUCGUGAGCCCAGGGGGGCGGCCGGGGCCUCGUGGGCAUUGGUCCCGGUUCGUAUGGACCCAUUUGUCCCGGUUCCAGGCACGAACUGGGACCAAUGGUCCUCGCUCCUGGCCCACAAACAUUGGUCCCGGUUCUUGGCUCGAACCGGGACAGAAGGCUGGGCUUUAGUUCCGGUUCCAGCCAUGAACCGGGACAAAUGAGUUGCCUAUAUAUAUACCCCGUCCCUGCAGCAGAGCACUCCACAGUGCUCUGUUUUUUUUGGCCGGCGAGGAGAGGGCAUUUGGGUGCUCUAGCUCACCUCCUAUGCACACGAGGUAUUCGAUGAAAUGCCCAAGCCACGCUAGUUAAGCUUUCUCCUCUCGAAGCUCGACCUCCAAGCUCCAUUUCCCCCGAGAUUUGUCUAGGUUUAGCGGUCCGUCCCGUCCCGUCCCCGUCUUCACCGCCGUCGAUCGCCCGCGCCGAUCUCGUCGCCUGCACCACUGUGGUGAGCCUCUUAUCUUCUUCUGAAAGAAAAAAAAUCUUACUUUAGAUAGAUACUUGUCUAAUUUUCUUACUUCUAUUAUUGCUUGUGCUUAUAUAGUGCGAUGGUUUUGGUAUCCGCCCCCGUCGGCCCUCGUCCUCGCUAUGAUUCGGAUGUGGUAUAUAUUAUCUUUUAUAACUAUUUGGUUCAUUUAUUGUUCAUGACAAUUAUGCCCAUCAAGUUGACAUAGAUUUUAUUUAUGUAGGAAGUAGUUGAACCGGAAAUUCCAACAAACCCUAUGAUAGGUAGGUAUGGUGGCUGUUUUGAGGAAGGUAUUUGGUGGGUGUAUGAUACCGGCGAAAAGUGAGCAUUAUUAGAGAGGCUAGCAAUGGUGGAAGGAAGGAAUGUGCGUAUAAUCCAUGAAAUCAUCAUUAGUCAUAAAGAACUCAUAUACUUAUUGCAAAAAUCUAGAAGUUAUCAAAGCAAAGUAUUACGCGCAUGCUCCUAGGGGGAUAGAUUGGUAGGAAAAGACCAUCGCUCGUCCCCGACCGUCACUCAUAAGGAAGACAAUCAAUAAAUAAAUCAUGCUUCGACUUCAUCACAUAAUGGUUCACCAUACGUGCAUGCUACGAGAAUCACAAACUGUAACACAAGCAUUUCUCAAAUUCACAACUACUCAACUAGCAUGACUCUAAUAUCACCAUCCUAAUAUCUCAAAACAAUUAUCAAGCAUCAAUUUUUUUCUUAGUAUUCAACGCACUCAAAAGAAAGUUUUUCAAAUCUUGAAUACCAAGCAUAUUUAUUAUUAAGCAAAUUACCAUGCUAUUAAGACUCUCAAAAUAAUCUAAGUGAAGCAUGAGAGAUCAAUAGUUUCUAUAAAACAAAUCCACCACCGUGCUCUAAAAGAUAUAAGUGAAGCACUAGAGCAAAAUUAUAUAACUCAAAAGAUAUAAGUGAAGCACAUAGAGUAUUCUAUCAAAUUCCAAAUUAUGUAUGGCUCUCUCAAAAGGUGUGUACAGCAAGGAUUAUUGUGGUAGACUAACAAGCAAAGACUCAAAUCAUAAAAGACGCUCCAAGCAAAACACAUAUCAUGUGGUGAAUAAAAAUAUAGCUCCAAGUAAAGUUACCGAUAGAAGUAGACGAAAGAGGGGAUGCCUUCCGGGGCAUCCCAAGCUUUGGCUUUUAGGUGUCCUUAGAUUAUCCUGGGGGUGCCAUGGGCAUCCCCAAGCUUAGGCUCUUUCCACUCCUUGUUCCAUAAUCCAUCAAAUCUUUACCCAAAACUUGAAAACUUCACAACACAAAACUCAAAGUAGAAAAUCUCGUGAGCUCCGUUAGCGAAAGAAAACAAAAGACCACUUCAAGGUACUGUAAUGAACUCAUUCUUUAUUUAUAUUGGUGUUAAACCUACUGUGUUCCAACUUCUCUAUGGUUUAUAAACUAUUUUACUAGCCAUAGAUUUAUCAAAAUAAGCAAACAACACACAAAAAACAGAAUCUGUCAAAAACAGAACAGUCUGUAGUAAUCUUUAGCUAGCGCAAGAUCUGGAACCCCAAAAAUUCUAAAAUAAAUUGCUGGACGUGAGGAAUUUAUAUAUUAAUCAUCUGCAAAAAUAAUUAACUAAAUAGUACUCUCCAAAUAAAAAUGACAGCAGUUCUCGUGAGCGCUAAAGUUUCUGUUUUCUACAGCAAGUUCAACAAGACUUUCCCCAAGUCUUCCCAACGGUUCUACUUGGCACAAACACUAAUUAAACACAAAAAAAACAACCAAAAAAGAGGCUAAAUAAUUUAUUUAUUACUAAACAGGAUCAAAAAGCAAGGAAUAAAAAUAAAAUUGGGUUGCCUCCCAACAUGCGCUAUCGUUUAACGCCCUUAGCUAGGCAUAACAAGCAAGAAUAGAUCUAGGUAGGCAAUCCAUAAGUGGCUCUCAUGAUAGAUUCAUAUGGUAAUUUUAUUUUUAUUUCUAGGGAAGUGUUCCAUGCCCUUUUUUAAUGGAAAUUAGAAUCUAAUAUUCCCUUCGUUCAUAUCAAUAAUUACACCAACCGUUCUAAGGAAAGGUCUACCGAGAAUAAUAGGGCAAGAACGAUUGCAAUCUAUAUCAAGAAUGAUAAAAUCUACGGGCACAUAAUUUCUAUUUGCAACAAUAAGAACAUCAUUAAUUCUUCCCAUAGGUUUCUUAAUAGUGGAAUCCGCAAGAUGCAAGUUUAUAGAGCAAUCAUCAAAAUCACGGAAAUCUAGCAAAUCACACAAAGUUUUGGGAAUAGUAGAGACACUAGCACCCAAAUCACACAAAGCAUAAAACUCAUGAUCUUUAAUUUUAAUUUUAAUAGUUGGUUCCCACUCAUCAUAAAGUUUUCUAGGGAUAGAAACUUCCAAUUCAAGUUUUUCUUCAUAAGAUUGCAUCAAGGCAUCAACGAUAUGUUUAGUAAACGCUUUAUUUUGACUAUAAGCGUGAGGAGAAUUUAGCACGGAUUGCAACAAGGAAAUACAAUCAAUCAAAGAGCAAUUUUCAUAGUUAAAUUACUUGAAAUCCAUAAUAGUGGGUUUAGCAACAUCUAGGGUUUUAAUUUCUUCAAUCCCACUUUUAUCAAAUUUAGCAUCAAGAUCAAAAGAUUCAGAAUUCUUAGAACGCCUUCUAGGAAAAGGUGGAUCAUAUUCAGUCCCAUCAUUAUCAAGAUUAAUAUUGCAAAACAAAUAUUUAAUACGGGACACAUCAAUAACUUUUAGAUCUUCAUCAUUAUUUUCAUAGGAACUAGAAGAACACGCUUUUAUAAAGGCAUCUUUCUUAGCACGCAUCCUAGCGGUUCUUUCUUUGCACUCGUCAAUGGAAAUUCUCAUGGAUUUGAGAGACUCAUUGAUAUCAUGCUUAGGUGGAAUAGAUCUAAGUUUCAAAGAAUCAACAUCAAGAGCAAUUCUAUCAACGUUCCUAGCCAAAUCAUCAAUCUUAAGUAUUUUUUCUUCAAUCAUAGCAUUAAAAUUCUUUUUUGAAGAAAUAAAUUCUUUAAUAUUAGAUUCAAAAUCAGAGGGAAUCAUUAUAAUUUUCAUAAGAAUUGUUGUAGGAAUUACCAUAAUUAUUAGAGGGAUUACUAGGAUAAGGCCUAGGGUUGAAAUUUCCUCUAUACGCGUUGUUACCAAAAUUGUUCCUACCAACAAAAUUCGCAUCCAUAGAUUCAUUAUUAUUAUCAAUCAAAGUAGACAAGGGCACAUCAUUAGUAUCAAAAGAAACACUCUUAUUAGCAAAUAAUUUCAUAAGUUCAUCCAUCUUUCCACUCAAAACAUUAAUUUCUUCUAUCGCAUGCACCUUUUUAUUAGUAGAUCUUUCAGUAUGCCAUUGAGAAUAAUUAACCAUAAUAUUAUCUAGGAGUUUAGUAGCUUCUCCUAAAGUGAUUUCCAUAAAAGUGCCUCCCGCGGCCGAAUCUAAAAGAUUUCUAUAAGCAAAAUUCAAUCCGGCAUAAAAAUUUUGUAUAAUCAUCCACAAAUUUAAACCAAGAGUAGGGCAAUUACGUAUCAUUAAUUUCAUUCUCUCCCAAGCUUGUGCAACAUGUUCAUGAUCAAGUUGCUUAAAAUUCAUAAUAUCGUUUCUAAGAGAGAUGAUCUUAGCGGGAGGAAAAUACUUAGAGAUAAAAGCAUCUUUGCACUUGUUCCAUGAGUCAAUACUAUUUUUAGGCAAAGAUGAAAACCAAGUUUUAGCACGAUCUCUAAGCGAAAAAGGAAAUAGCUUCAAUUUAACAAUAUCAUUAUCGACAUCUUUCUUAUUUUGCAUGUCACACAAAUCAACGAAGCUAUUAAGAUGGGUAGCGGCAUCUUCACUAGGAAGGCCGGAGAACGGAUCUUUCAUGACAAGAUUUAGCAAAGCAGUUUUAAUUUCACAAGAUUCAGCAUCGGUAAGAGGAGCAAUCAGAGUGCUAAGGAAAUCAUUGUUGUUGGUAUUGGUGAAGUCACACAAUUUAGUAUUAUCUUGAGCCAUCGCGACAAACAAGCAAACUAACACACAAGCAAACAAAAAGGCAAACAGGCAAAAAGAGGCAAAUAGAGAAAGAGAGGGAGGAUAGAGAGAGAGGGUGAAUAAAAUGGCAAGGGUGAAUUGGGGGGGAGAGGAAAACGAGAGGCAAAUGGCAAAUAAUGUAAUGCGGGAGAUAGGGAUUGUGAUGGGUACUUGGUAUGUUGACUUUUGCGCAGACUCCCCGACAACGGCGCCAGAAAUUCUUCUUGCUACCUCUUGAGCACUAUAUUGGAUUUCCCCGAAGAGGAGAGGAUGAUGCAGCAAAGUAGCGUAAGUAUUUCCCUCAGUUUUUGAGAACCUAGGUAUCAAUCCAGUAGGAGGCUACGCGCGAGUCCCUCAUACCUACACAAAAACAAUAGCUCAACACAACCAACGCGCUUAGGGGUUGUCAAUCCCUUCACGGUCACUUAUGAAAGUGAGAUCUGAUAGAGAUGAUAAAUAAUAUUUUUGGUAUUUUUGGUAUAGAGAUGCAACGUGAAAAGUAAAAGGCAAAGUAAAAAAAGCAAAGCAAUAAUAAAGUGAUGGAGAUUAAUAUGAUGAGAAGAGACCCAGGGGCCAUAGGUUUCACUAGUGGCUUCUCUCAAGAGCAUAAGUAUUCUACGGUGGGUGAACAAAUUACUGUUGAGCAAUUGACAGAAUUGAGCAUAGUUAUGAGAAUAUCUAGGUAUGAUCAUGUAUAUAGGCAUCACGUCCGAGACAAGUAGACCGACUCCUGCCUGCAUCUAUUACUAUUACUCCACUCAUCGACCGCUAUCCAGCAUGCAUCUAGAGUAUUAAGUUAAAAACAGAGUGAUGCCUUAAGCAAGAUGACAUGAUGUAGAGGGAUAGUUUCAUGCAAUAUGAUAAAAACCCCAUCUUGUUAUCCUCGAUGGCAACGAUACAAUACGUGCCUUGCUGCCCCUUCUGUCACCGGGAAAGGACACCGCAAGAUCGAACCCAAAGCUAAGCACUUCUCCCAUGGAAAGAACAACCAAUCUAGUAGGCCAGACCAAACUGAUAAUUCGAAGAGACUUGCAAAGAUAACCAAUCAUACAUAAAAGAAUUCAGAGAAGAUUCAAAUAUUAUUCAUAGAUAGACUUGAUCAUAAACCCACAAUUCAUCGAUCUCAACAAACACACCGCAAAAAGAAGAUUACAUCGAAUAGAUCUCCAGGAGAGAGGGGGAGAACAUUGUAUUGAGAUCCAAAAAGAGAGAAGAAGCCAUCUAGCUACUAACUAUGGACCCGUAGGUCUGAAGUAAACUACUCACACUUCAUCGGAGGGGCUUGGAUGAUGAUGUAGAAGCCCUCCGUAAUCGAUGCCCCCUCCGGCGGAGCUCUGGAACAGGCCCCAAGAUGGGAUCUCGUGGAUACAGAAAGUUGCGGCGGUGGAAUUAGGUUUUUGGCUCUGUAUCUGAUCGUUUGGGGGUACGUGGAUAUAUAUAGGAGGAAGAAGUACGUCGAUGGAGCAACAGGGGGCCCACGAGGGUGGAGGGCACGCCUAGGGGGGGCAGGCGCGCCCCCCUACCUCGUGGCCUCCUGUUAAUUGGCUUGACGUAGGGUCCAAGUCUCCUGAGUUGUAUUCGGUGAGAAAAUCACGUUCCCAAAGGUUUCAUUCCGUUUGGACUCUGUUUGAUAUUCCUUUUCUUCGAAACCCUAAAACAAGCAAAAAACAGUAAUUCUGGGCUAGGCCUCCGGUUAAUAGGUUAGUCCCAAAAAUAAUAUAAAAGUGGAUAAUAAAGCCCAAUAAUGUCCAAAACAGUAGAUAAUAUAGCAUGGAGCAAUCAAAAAUUAUAAAUACAUUGAAGACGUAUCAGCUUCCAACCGGACCAAAGGCCCUCCCGCUUGGGCUCGCCGGAGCGGCCACGUGGAGGCCCAUCUAUCCCGGUUCAUAUAAGAACCAGGACUAAAGGCCAGGGGCAUUAGUAACGACCCUUUAGUCACGGUUCCCCAAUUGGGACAGAUGGGCCUUAUGAACCGGGACAAAUGGGCCUUUUUCUACUAGUGUGCAUGCCCAGGAUCCGGCUCCCCCCUCCCCCUCACCACCAACGACCAAGAGGUCGCCGGCGGAGGGGAGCCGCAGGAAAACGACGUAAGAAGGGUUGCCCCUCUUGGUGGCGGCUAGGGUUCUGGUUGCUAGCCAAACCAGAGAGGAAAAUAUUGAUAUAUAGUAAGAGAUAUGUAAUCAAUAAAGCUCCAUUCGGAAGUGACCUUGUAGGCGGGGGGUGUUUGGACUACUGCCUCUUUCAAGGUUAUGUGUACUAUGAAAGACUACGUCUUUGAUGCAUGAGAGGACCAAAUUUUUGUAGCUCUUUAUGAGCACGAUAUCCAUUUCUUUCAUGCCAGUUGUUGUCAUGCGAGCAAGGUAGUGGCGAGGAUGUUCUCAUGACUGACGACUAAUUCAAACUUGAAGAGUGUCUCACCUAGAAUGGGUCGGACCACCACCAGGGCCUCUCCUAGAACUUCCUUGUGGUGGGGUCCUCUCUGGUUUCAGUGGGGAAGGCUCUACGAGGAUGGAUCGACGAUGACAUGCCAGAUGCAUGAUGAGUGUGACAGCAGCGAAGAAGAUGUGUGAUUAGUGGUGCUGGCGUAGGGAGUGAGAAAAUUUAUAUACCCAGGAAAGGGCGCACUUUGGUGAAAAAAGGACAAGAAAUGGCGCACAUAGGAGGGAAUUGGUGCGAUCAUUUGAGACACAUGGCGACGACCAUCAAUGAGUGCUCUUUUUGAUGGAAAUUGCGGUUGCGCCAUUGGUAGGAGUAGAAGAGGGAGGAAGAACGUGACUGAAGUUUCCCUCCACGUGGACAGUUGGAUAUAGAGUUCGCUCUAUAUCAUUGUCCCCGAGUCUCCAAAUAUGAAGGGCGCGGCUCACUAUUUGAAGUGUGUGACAAAAGUAAUGGAGCCAUGGACCAUUAUGUCAACAAUUGCUACACUUACAGACACAAUUCUACGGAAUUGCCUCCCAGAAUGAUGUGGACAAAUGAAGGGGAUGAGGUUACAAUCGUCCGCGGGGGGAGGGGGGGUCAUGCUGGAAUCAUGUUGUGGAAUUAGAGCAUACGUCAAGCAUGUAAGUGGUAAGUGUACCGUUUCUGUCAUUUAUGGUGACUCUGAUAGACUCCUUUUUGGGUCCUCGAAUUCCUUAUAGACAUCAUGAAGAUUAACAUUGGACCAAUAUGACACAUCUGCUAUAGUUGCUAUUUUAUGUGUAUUGGUUGAUGGUAUACGAUGCCAUUUUUAUCAAAUCACAAUUCCAUGAUAGUCCAUCCUUGCUUACAUGUCCAUGCUAUCUAAGCUCUACAUGUCAUGAUUAGUACUCCUUUCAUUCGGAAUUACUUGUCCUUCAGAUGGACGUAUCUAGAAGUAAUUUUGGACAAGGUAGUAUUAGCGAAUGAUGGUUUGUGGCUCGUCGGCUAUACUAGAAGGAAAAGCAUGCUAACUUAAGCUGAUCAAGUUUUCUGAUGAAUUCUAUGCAAAUCCAUGUGACAUUUUUUCACUUAUGAAGGAUAACCAGCAAAUAAACACUCACCAUUUUGAAAACUAGAAAAUCCAAAAUGUAGCUAGGGAAAUAGAAACUCAUAAUCAGCCAUUCAGAGAGGCAAGCCUGGCAAAACUCCCAUUGUUUUCUUUAUUUGUUUUUUGAGAGGAACUGGCAUCGUUUUCAGAACAGAGAGGAGGGCCUCAGGGUGUGAUUGGUUCAGCCAGGAGAUUGCAACGUGUGGAUUCCUCAACAGCCUAGGUGAGGAAGAACACCGAACAUCCAACUCAAUAAAAAUGGUGAUGAAGAACACUUGCAAAGUUGCAACCGAAACAAAAAGGCUCCGAGAUCAGAUCCGCUGGGAUCGAUCUUGUUGUUUGUACAUAGCUGAAGGUUCCACUCAAAACAAAAGGCAAACGCAUUUCGCCCAAAUGAAACUGGAGACGCGUCAACCUGGCAUGCAAUCUGGUAGAAUCUGUUGGAGGUUCUAUAUACUUGUGCGACAAGAUAUUUGUUCGACUAUGAGGCGUGAUACGACUUCGUCGCGGGAGGCUGGGCUGGGAGUGAUCAGACGUGCGGCCCUUUUCUGAAGCCGGAAGUAACAGGCUGAUCACCCGACGCAUCCUGCUUUUUCCAACUUCAUGAACUCUUACCAAAUUCGUGAUCCAUUUUUCAAAUUCAUGAAAAUUUUCUAAAUUUGUAAAAAAAAAACUCAAAUUCAUGAUGUUUUAAAAUUCACAAACUCUUUUCUAAUUUAUGAACUUUUUCCAAAUUUUCGAUCCUUUCUAGAACCCAUUGUAUGUUCAUGACUUUUUAAAUUCCUGGUUUUUUCCAACAAAACAUGUAUGCUUUUCUUUCAGAAUCAGCAGCCAUUGGUUUUUUUAUUGAUAGUGAGCAGAGAAUGAGGUGAUUUAUUUAGAUGAGGGGCGGAUGCUAUUUUGUGAAUUUUUGCAAACAUUUGGUUUACAAAUUUGUGAAUUUAUUUUCAAUUAUGAACAAUUUCUAACAAGCGAACAUACAAAAAAAAUCGCAAUCAUUUAUUUUAAAUUCGUGACAUUUAUUUGAAACUCUUGAUCAUUUUUAAGAAGUGUCAAACAUUUUUUUAACCUGAGAUUUGUUUUCAAACUCACAAACAGUAAUUUUGUUUUGUCAAACAUUUUUUGAGAUGCAGGAACAUUUGUUCACCCAAAAAAUAUUUAUUGUGGCAGUGAAAUUUUUAUAAAAUUUGGGAACAUUUUCUGAUAUUUGUGAACAUUCGUUACAUAUUCUUGAACAUUUUUAAAUUUGCCACAUUUGAUCAAAUUGACGAACAUUUUUGUGAACACGCAAACCUUUUAAAAAAACAUGAUUUUUUUAUUUCCUUAAUUUUUUGGGAAAGUCAUGAUUUUCUUAAUACGCAGACAUAAUUUUUCAAAAUGAUGAAUAUCUAAAGAUUUCCCGAGUAUUUUUAAAAUUCAUGAACAUUUUUUGAAUUGGGGAACAUGUUUUCUUGAACAUUAUUUCCAUUCGCAACUUUUUUAGACUGGAAUUUUUUGAAAUCCUAAAUUAUUGUAAAGAAUAAAAAAUGAAAGAAAAAACAAAAAUAUAGGAACAAAAUUGAAAUGAAAAAAACAAGGGUUCUCCCCCACGGGACAUGGGCCGGCCCAAAAGGCGCGUGAGGGGGGAGGACGGUGUGCAAUUGCUGCUUCAUGAGCGCGCAAACGUUCACAAUUUUCAAAAAAAGUCCAUGAAUUUGAAAAAGGUUUAUGUAUUUUGGGCAGAAGUUCGCGAAUUUGAAAAAGGUUCCUCAUUUUUUUCAAAUAUUUCUCCAAGUUGGAAAAAAUCCACAGAUUUGAUAGAAGUUCAUCGAUUUUGAAAAAGUAUCGUGAACUUAAAAAAAUGUUCUUCUAGGCACGAAGGAAGGCAAAAGGGACAUCUACAAGAUGGCCAAGAUCCACAAGAGGAAGACGAGGGAUGUUGGCCAAGUCAAAUGCAUCAAGGACGGAGCAGACCAACUCCUGGUGAAGGACGAGGAGAUUAAGCAUAUAUGGCGAGAGUACUUUGACAAGCUGUUCAAUGGGGAGAAUGAGAGUUCUACCAUAGAACUGGACGACUUGUUUGAUGAGACCAGCGUGUGUUUUGUGCGGCGGAUCCAUGAGUCUGAGAUCAAGGAGGCUUUAAAAAGAAUGAAAGAAGACAAGGCGAUGGUCCCUAAUUGUAUCCCCAUUGAGGUGUGGAAAGGCCUCGGGAACAUAGCGAUAGUAUGGCUAACCAAACUUUUCAAUCUCAUUUUUCGGGAAAACAAGAUGUCAGAAGAAUGGAGACGGAGUAUAUUACUACCAAUCUUCAAGAACAAGGAGGAUGUUUAGAGUUGUACUAAUUACCGUGAAAUUAAGAUGAUGAGUCAUAUAAUGAAGCUAUGGGAGAGAGUCAUUGAGCAUCACUUAAGAAGAAUGACAAGCGUGACAAAAAAUUAGUUUGGUUUCAUGCCUGGGAGGUCGACCAUGAAAGCCAUUUUCUUGGUACGACAACUUAUGAAGAGAUACAAGGAGCAAAUGAAGGACUUGCAUAUGGUGUUCAUUAACUUGAAGAAAGCCUAUGAUAAGAUAUUGCGAAAUGUCAUGUGGUGGGCCUUGGAGAAACAUAAAGUCUCAGCGAAGUACAUUACCCUCAUCAAGGACAUGUAUGAUAAUGUUGUGACAAGUGUUCGAACAAGUGAUGUCGACACAGAUAACUUCCCGAUUAAGAUAGGACUGCACCAGGGGUCAGCAUUGAGCCCUUAUCUUUUUGCCUUGGUGAUGGAUGAGGUCACAAGGGAUAUACAAGGAGAUAUCCCAUGGUGUAUGCUCUUUGUGGAUGAUGUUGUGCUAGUUGAUGAUAGUUGGACGGGGGUAAAUAGAAAGUUAGAGUUAUGGAGACAAACCAUGGAAUCAAAAGGGUUUAGACUUAGUAGAACUAAAACCGAGUACAUGAUGUUCGGUUUCAGUACUACUAGGCGCGAGGAGGAGGAGGGUUGCCUUGAUGGGCAUGUGGUGCCUCAGAAGGACACCUUUCGAUAUUUGGGGUCAGUGCUGUAGAAGGAUGGGGGUAUUGAUGAAGAUGUGAACCAUCGUAUCAAAUCCGGAUAGAUGAAGUGCCGCCAAGUUUCUGGCAUUCUCUGUGACAAGAGAGUACCACAAAAGUUAAAAAGAAAGUUCUACAGGACGGCUGUUCGACCUGCAAUGUUGUAUGGCGCUGAGUGUUGGCCGACUACAAGGUGACAUGUUCAACAGUUAGGUAUGGUGGAGAUGCGUAUGUUGAGAUGGAUGUGUGGCCACACGAGGAAUGAUCGAGCCCGAAAUGAUAAUAUACGAGAUCUAGUUGGGGUAGCACAAAUUAAAGAGAAGCUUGUUCAACAUCGUCUGAGAUAGUUUGGGCAUAUUCAGCGCAGGCCUCCAGAAGCUCCAGUGCAUAGCGGACGACUAAAGCGUGCAGAGAAUGUCAAGAGAGGUUCGGGUAGACCGAAUUUAACAUGGGAGGAGUCCAUAAAGAGAGAUCUGAUUGAAGUAUCACCAAAAAACUAGCUAUGGACAGGGGUGCAUAGAAGCUUGCUAUCCAUGUGCCCGAACCAUGAGUUGAUCGCGAGAUCUUAUGAGUUUUACCUCUAACCUACCUCAACUUGUUUGGGACUAAAGGCUUUGUUGUUGUUCUUCUAUUUUGAAAACACAAGAAUAUUUAAAAAGUCUAUUGGAUUAUAAAAAUGUUCAUGGAUUUGAAAAAAAUAGUGAUUUAAAAAAGCUCAUGGAUCUUGAAAUAGUCCACUAAUUUUGAAAACAAAAUUUAAAAAAUUUGGAAAAAAUCGUGGAUUAUGAAAGAUAUCACGGAUUUCAAAAACAUUUAUCAAUUUGAAUACAUUCAUGCAUUUGAAUUGAAGUUUGCAGAUUUUAAAAAAGUUCAUGUGGUUUGAAAAAAUGUUCACGGAUUUGAGAAAAUUUCAUGAAUCUAAAAAACAGUUUGGAAAUUCAAAAGGCAACGAAAUUUGAAAACAAAAUCACGAUUAAAAAAUAAUAAAAUAAAAACGAAAGAAACAAAUGAAAUAGAAAAAAAAUGAAAAAAAGGGAAGGAAUGGAAACAAGGCUGGAAAAACCAGAAACGAACAAAAAAGGUUCCUAAAAUCGAUUGAGAGCUUCUCAGAAACGUCGUCGGUAUAUGGGCCUGCCCACGAAAAACUAUCGAAGGAAACAAGCUAUGACGGGCAUAGCGGUCGCCGAAUAGGAUUGGGGCUCGAUUCCUGUGUCCCAGACUUCUCGUUUGAACCAUCGAUAUUUUGGACAAUACAAAUAGGAUGGAAUACGCAUCACGUGCAACCCAACCUAAGUAUAUACGUGCAUAAUCCCUUGAUUUGGCUGUGACCACCAAGCAAUCAGAUCUAAUCAUUCGAUGGCGUCGCAAACUCCUCCAGCCAAACGAGCCGACGGCCAAGGAAGCAUCAACGACGACGUGCUCUACGAGAUCCUGCUCAGUCUCCCGGCGAAGCCGCUGUGCCGCCUCCGCGCCGUCUGCCGGUCCUGGCGGUCCCUCCUCUCGGCUCCGUCGUUCAUCGCCGCCCACACGGCGCGCCAAGCUGCCCUGCUCCUCAUCGUCCACGUGCACGAUGCAUCUUCGCUCAACGUCCAUGUCCUAGACAUAUCCUCGCGCAAAGUGGACAAACGGAUACAUGUCAAGACGCAGAGUAGCACUACGCAGUCUCACAGUUCUUUGAUGCUGAUGCGCACCCCCCAUGACCUGCCGCUGGUUUGCCUCCCCUGCGCAGACGACGAGCUUCGACUCCGGGUGCUCGACCCAGUGACCGGUGCCGAUUUCGCGUUACCUGAUGUCGACCACGAUAAACAACACUGCUAUAGUGCAUCGUUUAUGAUCGGCAAAGUGUCGACCGGAGACUACAAGGUGUUGUGCCUUAGUAUGUGUACGUCCGUGUCCAAUGGACAGCAGCUCUGCAAGGUUCUCACCCUCUCGGGCGACCGUCGGUGGAGAGAGACGGGGUGCCCGCCGGCCAUGGUCAAGAUGGGCCGACUGGACGGGGCAACCGUCAAUGGGGUCGCUUACCUCUUGCUGAAAACCAAGCACGACCAUCGUCCGCAGGUGUCCAGCGAAUGUAUCGUGGCAUACGACCUGGAGAAGGAGGCAUGGCGGCCAGCUUCUCUGCCAGUCCCGACACCUAGCAACAAGGAGUAUUUAACAAAAAAACUACCACAUUUCGCGGAACCGUGCCUACAAACUACCACUUUACAAAUUUGUGCCAAAAACUACCACUUUUUGACUAAUCUUUGACUAAAAACUACCAUCUCAGAAAAGUGCCCGAUUAGCCUCUUCUAAACGCUUUUCUGGUAGGAUGGGCCCACAUAUCAGCAUCAAUCUUCUUCCUCCUCCUCCUCCUCUCUCUCUCUGGCAUUUCCUCAAACACCUCGUAUGCACUCCACGCUCUUCUCCAUUGCGACGCCCCGGCGAAGCACCUCUCCGGCGCUGGUCUCCCCGUCGAUGGCGUACACGAGGUGCAAAGGCGGGGGCUCGGUCGGCAGGGCCGAGCGGGGCGGGGCGAGGCCUUGGCACGAUGGCGGCCGCCAUGGCCGAGGCGAGCAGGCGGCUCGGCUAGGAGGGAGGGCGGCGCAGGUGGCGGGGCACGCCGGCCGGCGGGGCAGAGCGGCGGGUGGCGCGGGCUGGGCAUAGUGGCGGGUGGCACGGGCGGCGGACGGCGCACACGCUCGCGGCGACGGCGGCUACGUGCACGGCUGUGCACGCACACAAGCUGCUACGGCUGCAUGCUAGCAUGACCGCAAUGCUCCAUUGGCCGGCUAGCUAGCACACGACGCUGGCUUCGACCGAUGGCGCAGGUGGCGCUGCUCGCCGGCCGGCGGUGGGGGCGGGCGCGGCGCGUGGCUCGCGUGCAUCUCUCGCGCGGCACGGCCUAGGAGUUGACCACUGUGUCAUGUCAGCGCCUAAGUGUGGGCCAUCCCUGUCAUAAUCAUGUUUAAUUUCAGCAAACUACCAUGAGGCAGAAAUUAGUGUUUUCUGAGAAAAAUUAGUCGAAAAGUGGUAGUUUUCGGCACAAAUUUGUAAAAUGGUAGUUUGUAGGCACGGUUCCGUGAAAUGUGGUAGUUUUUUGUUAAAUAUUCUAGCAACAAGCAAUGGCCAAGAGACAUGUUCUACCACGUCUUGGCCGAGCUAAGCGGCUGCUUGGCCCUACUAUACGACGACGGACGCUCGUUUAUGGAGUUGUGGUUGCUCGUGGACCCCGACAAGGUUACCUGGUCUAAGCAGUGCACCAUCACCGUGCCGUAUCCUUAUCAGGGUGUCGGAUAUCGGGGGGAGCCCUUGUGGUUGCUAGAUGAUGGGAGGCUCAUCAUUUGUAUUUGGAUGUCUCCGGAAAUUCCCAAUGUGUUGUGUACGUAUGAUCCAAGAACCAUGACAUAUACGGAUGUGACAGAGAUGCCAAACAGCACGCCAGGAGGAGUGUACACUGGGAGCUUGUUGGGUGGAGGGAGGUUUCACCUUCUCCGCCAAGGAGGUUUAGUACAAGUAGACUGAUACUGCUCUUUAUUAGCAACCAAAAAGAGCUCUUUUGUGGUACCCCGCGUCAAAUAUUAGCCAUCCAUUCUUCAAAUCUAAUGGUAACGAUCGAUCUAUACUGCUCCAAUUUGCCAAUAGAAUCGCGAGCGGUAUAGCUUGCACCGCUUCUCUCCCGUCCUCCAGUAUACAAAUCGCUAGGGCAUUUUGGGAGUAAAUAGUUUCAGCUCGCCCGUCUCGCCCUCUGGGGACUGGUCCGCCGUGACGAGGCCGGCUGGGCCGGCAAGGUGCAGCACCUUCGAACCGACUUUUAGGCCUUCCGGACAUCCGAUGCCUCCUGGCGCACGCUGCUCGCCAACGACGGCGGCCGGCCAUGCCAGGCAGGCGAGACCAUGGCGGCUGGCUGCGGGCUGCCCCGGCCUGCCCUUUCGGAUCACGCUGUCCGCGGACGGUGGCGAGGUGACCCGAGGCUGCGGGACUGCUUGCGUGCGGGAGGCGGGAGCGGACGAGCAGCUACGGCGGGGCUGCUUGCGUGCGGGAGGCGGGAGCGAACGAGCAGCUGCUGCGGUGCUGUGGGGCGUGCACGACGGCUGUUGCUGCAGGCGUGGAGCGCGAACGGGCGCGCGCGUGGCUGGGUGUGUGCAUGCGAGCCGAGCUCCAGUGACUCGUCCAUGGCGGACAGGGCGCCGGCUUCAGCGAGACGACGCUACUGUAAACGAAAACGACGGGAACGAAUAAGAUGAGCUCGAGGGGGAGGUCGUGGUCGAGGACGACGGCUCGGGGGGCGCCUCCGUCCAGCAACCAGAGCAGGAGGUCGAAGGAGACUGUGGAGGAGUUGUGGCACAUGCAGGCGGAGCUUGCCGUCUUGGUUUCCCAUCGCCAAUAUCCGCUGACCGACGACGUCGCUAAGGUUUCCAUGACAGAAAAUCUAUGUCUAUCCUACCCUCGGGAAAUCAGCGGUCAGAUUUUAAUAUACCGCUUCCUCGCCUGUUAGCAGCAUAGGGUACCGUAAAAACUCUCCAAAUUAGACAGUUUCCUUUCCUUUCUUUUCUUUUAUUUUCUCCACAGCCUCUACGAGGAAGAUGGUUUUAUUUGGAGAAUUGGUGGCUGAUACAAGGUGACAUUUCUAUGAAACAGGAAUUCCAUCAGAGUUGAUCCUUUGCAUAUAUGUCUUGAGCAACCUCUACGUCCCAUGGCCAUGGUUAGUACGUACUUGCGAGUGAUGGUUUGCGGCGUGUCAGCCAUACUAAAAAGGAAAGGCAUGUUAAACUUAGCCGACUAGUAAUUAUUCUGAUGAAUUUUAUGAAAAUCCAUGGGACAUUUUCUGACUCAUGUGGGAUAACCAGCAACUAAACAUGCACCAUUUUGAAAAGAGUCAAAGCAUCCCUGAAUGUAGCUAGGGAUAUAGAACACAACCAGCCAUUCAGAGAGUCAAGCCUGUCCAAACCGCCAUCGUUUCUCAGAGCGCAGAUGACAAGAUAUAUAGAGUAGUAUUAACCAUCGAUCCCGACCUUGGCUACACCACACAUCCUUUUCACUAGACGCCAUGGAUUGCAGGACGAGACCUCUCCUUGUUUCACUUGUCUUCAACAGGAGGACAAAGUGGACCACAUCUUAAUCCAAUGCCCGUAUGCUAGAGAGGUGUGGUAUUUGGUACUGGGACAUUACAGAUUGAAUAUCGCUCCACCAUCUGUAUCCUGCACCCCAAUACAAUGGUGGACGGAAGCCAGAAACGCAAUCCUAAGGAGCGAAAGGAAGGGCUUCUACUCCUUGUUCAUGUUAACGACCUGGGCGGUUUGGAAACAACGGAACGCCCGGGUCUUUGGCAGGGUUAACCAGCAACUGCAGCCGGCACAAUUGUUGGGACAGAUCAUCGACGAAGCCAAGGAGUGGAGGGCCGCUGGAGCUGGAGGCUUGAACAAUCUAGCGAGAGAGUAGUUUCACAGUUUUUGCAGGUGUGGGUGUGGGUGUUCGAUCGAAGCCUGUUCGCAGCGUCUUCGAUCUUCUUGUAAAUUGCUUUGCUCCUUUCUAUAGAAAUACGGUACGCCGUUGGCGUACUCUAAAAAAAAACUAAAAGCGUCGGGCGUCAGCGUCCUGGGGGGCUGGGGAUGGUGACCCUUUUCUGAAGCCGGAAGAAAUAUGCAGCGCACGCUACGCAUCCUGCUUUCCACGAACGCGAGCUUCGCUGGCCGGCCGGCCGGCGUGCAGUAACCACUGCGCUGAUCGUGCUUUGCUAGACACAAGUCCGUACCGUCACAGGACCCGGUCCUGUCAGCUUCAGUUCCGUGCGCUCCGGGUAUGCAGCUCAGAUUACAUUUAGAACCAAAGUGUUCACCAGAUCAAAGAUCAGGCAGUUCUCACCCAACCGGCACGACUAUAGUGUAGAAUAAACACAAGGAGGACAAACCAUUUGACGACCCUUAGAUUGCUGCUUAGCUUAUCGGAUCGCUUAGUUACGUACUAGUAGCUCUGGCAUUAUAUCUGGGUUUCUGAACUGUAUCCGCGUGCAUUUCUUUCCCGCGUGCAUACAGAACGUGUGUCCCCUGCCUGCCAAUUCUGUUGAACGUCCUCGCAGUUUCACACUCGCAUUUCUUCAGCGAGCUUCUCCGCUCCGUGUCACUUGGAUCAACAGGUGUUCAUGGAUCGUUAUCGGAGAAGGACACUAGCGGUACAAUUAACUGCAUCAUAUCUUAGUACUUAAUGUCUGAAUUGGAUACGGGGAACAGGAUGCCUUUGAUGUAAUACAGGGACGUGUCUGUCCUCUGUCUCACCCGAAUCGUCUUCUCCAAUUAUUGCUGAACAUACUGUGCAUGCGCGAGGGUGGCGUCUGUUUGGAGAGCGUCGGCGUCGGCGAGGGCCAGUUGCUGUCACUCAAAUGGUUGGCGAAGCAGCUAUGAUCCAUUGCUCCAGUCUAGUUGGAAGGUUAGUUAGAAAACCGUCCCGUUCCAAGCACCAGUAGAAGCUAGGCAAUCACAGCCAGUGCUUUAGAUGGCACGCCAUGGUCCACCAAAUCAAGGAGACGACGAUUACAAACAUUGGUGCUUGGAACGGGACUCUAUAGAAAAAAAACAGUUCUCUCACUGUAUUCCAUGCAAAUGUUGCUUGACCUGCUCCACCAGCUUUGAGACGCCACACGAACUAAGACCAUGCACGCAUAAGCAGGGAGUUGAGCCGCACCAAAGAGCCGAUCGUCAACAAAGACUCCGGACAACGAAGGUCGUCAUUGCACAUGCAACAGAGAUUGACGAGGAAGGAAGGUCACCGGCACCACAGAAAUCUCAAUUCGGGACACUCAGGCAAUCCCGCACCGUCCUCAUGCUCCGCCGUCCUCUCUAGUGGCGGCAUAGUCGGUUGGCAAAACGUACUCGUCGUCAGGGGCGAAGCCAGAAACAAAAGGUUGUCGACGUCAACACGAACAAGUAGCACUAAUGUAUCCCCUCGAAAACAAAGUAGCAGUAAUAUAUGGUUGAAAAAUACAUAACUUGUAUUAACUAAAAUGUCUACAAUAUUUUCUUUAGUAAGCUCAUAUAAAUAAGAAAUCAUCGUUGCCAACGUAUCAUAACCAAAAUAAGCUCUGGUUACAAGAAUAGAUACCUCUAUUUUUCUUGACAUUCUAAUAGGGGUACAACUUGAGGCCUAAUCUAGAUUGUGUAAUCUACGUGAUUAUCCACCUAGACAUUCAAGGAAUAAAAAUAAAAUUCAUCAUGUCAUAAUAAAUCUCUUCAUCCUUCAGAUCAAUUAGAUGGAUAAAUCAGCUUCAGUGCCACUUACAUAUUAGAUCUGCAAACUAAACCACCAAUUUUCUUGGAAGAGAGAAGUGAAGAUUUGGGGCGGCGGUGGUUCAAGCGAUUAGGUGAAGUGAGGCGCGAAAAAAUGUUUAUGGAAGAAGAUGAUCGAGCUAUCCUCUUUUAUUUAGGGGUGGAAAAACACUUUAUUAUAUUAGAUAAAAGCAUUCACAAGGAUACAGAUCUAACAACCAAACAUGACGACCGACGUCGAGCAAGUCGCUCUAGCCAGACCAUGAGCCUCCAGGUUGCUUUCUCUCAUCUCAUGUUUAAUAGCUAGUCACCGAAGAAAAUUGGUGGCAUCUGGAUUUGAUCUCAUGUAUGAUCUCGUGGUGCACGAUCCAAGAUAUGAUUCAUUCACGUGCUAAUAAUAGAAUAAUAAUCCCUUUAUUAUUUUCUCUAUGGCAUAGUCGUGAUAAUUUCGAUUGCAACCACGUUGCUACAACACACCUUAAUCAAAUUUUGUUUCCUUUAGAACAACAAAGAUUAUGUUACAAUUGUGAAACAAGUGUACACCGUGAAGGGUCUAAUUAGUGUGAGUUUCUUGAUUCUCAGUGUGUGGCACCGAACAAAAUAUAGAUGGAUUUGGUCAAAACUAAUGAAAUGUGGUGGUUAGAUAACAUAUUUGUUAGGAUUGUUGGGUCAUCUAGAUCACCAUUUUUAUGAAGAGUGACUGUUCCAUUUUUUUCCUUGGGUAAAGUAUGUGUAUAUUUCCAAUUUAUUACCGACCCCGUGUGACUUGUAAGUUGCAUUUGACCAUGAAGAAAGAAGUAGAUAAUUAUGCCAACGAUUCAAUUUAUACUCUAUAAGUUUCUUAGAAUUUGCUUAUUUAAUCAUACAUACAUUACACCACUAUUAACAUUUUUGUUAGAUCGUAUCCUAUAAAGAUCUUUACCUGAUAUUUAAGGACACAAAGACAUACAUAUACAAUAUGCAAUUUAUGCUAGUGUAAAACAUUUAUUCAAGAAGCCAUGCAUUUUUUAUAUUUUAUUUUUUGUCACGAAAAAAACUAUUAAAAUGUUUUUUUGCACAAAAUACAAUAGUUUAAUUUGGCAUACUAUGAGUGUAUUCCUUUUACUAAAAAGGAAAGGCAUGUUAAACUUAGCCGACUAGUAAUUAUUCUGAUGAAUUUUCUGAAAAUCCAUGAGACAUUUUCGACUCAUGUAGGAUAACCAGCAACUAAACAUGCACCAUUUUGAAAAGAGGCAAAGCAUCCAUGAAUGUAGCUAGGGAUAUAGAAAGAGAGAAUUCCUUAUUUGACUCUUUCUUAAAUUUUGAUUCCCUAUUUGGCCUAAAAUAAAAUUUUCUUCCCUAUUUGACACCUAAAGUAAUUUUCAUUCCUUAUAUGACACUUUUGUCUAUUUUAGGCACUAAUCUGGUUAAGUGUGAUGUGAAAAGACCAUUUUGCCCCUAGUGCAUUGUGUAACUAUUUUGGAUGUAGUUAAAAAGCAAUCAGUUCACCCGUGUUUUAGGGAUGUUCAACAGAUGCUGCGCAUGCAUAUGUAUGCUUCAAUAUUUUGUUUCUUAGGUAAACUGGUAUGUGUGUGUAAAAGCCGUAGAAUACAUCCGUAGAACUUGUACUAGCAUAUCUAUGAUUACUUACUUUUUUGCAAAUAAGUAGAACUUGUACUAGCAUAUCUAUGAUUACUUACUUUUUUGCAAAUAAGUACAGUGACAUAUACUUUCCAGCAAGAUGCGUGUACUUUUGAACGAGACGUAGGAGUAGCUUGUAAUACAACCGACAGCUGAUUACUUUUCGGCGGCCGUCGGGAGACUCGCGUAUAAGUACGUACGAUUUGCACAAGAUGCGCUUGGACCGUUGCACGUACUAAGUACAAAUCGCCGACUAUUAGAUCGCUGGCACAACUCGAUUCACACGUCCGCGAGAACAGGGGACGCCGACUGUUUGCCACCGGAGCGUGUUGCUCUCAUUAAUCUCUUCGUUGCCUUUUUCUCACUAUAUACAAGUUAUCACAUAUUAUAUACUAGCAAUAUAUAACUAGCCUAUAUAGGAUUUAGUAGUAUGUGACUAUGUGUAAUUAUGUACUUUGGAACACGUGACCAAAUUCAGCACGAAGUGCUAAUUGGAGGAUUUAGUGGUAUGUGACUAUGAGAACUAACCAAAAUAUGGUACCGUAUUGAUCAUAGAUAUGCUAGUACAAAUUCUACCAAUGUUUUGUAUGGGUUUUACACGCACAGUCUAGAUUAAUAAGACAAAAUAUUGGAGCAUACAUAUACAUGUGCAACAUCCUUUGAACAUCCCUAAAACAUAGGUGAACUAAUUGCUCUUUUACUUCAUCCAUGACAUUUACAAAAUGCAUUAGGGGCAAAAUGGUCUUUUCACCACACAGUUAACACUAUUAGUGUCUAAAAUGGACGAAAGUGUCAUAUAAGAAACAAAAAUUAAUUUAGGUGUCAAAUAGGGAAGAAAAAUUUAUUUUGGAUCAAAUAAGGAAGCAAAUUUUAAGAAAGGGCCAAAUAAGGAAUUCUCUCAUAUAGAAACUCACAACCAGCGAUUCUCAAAACGCAGACAAGGGGUAUUAAUUAGAGCAAGUACAAUAAGCUUAUGUAAGCAGGCUAUAAGAUUUAAAAUAUAAUAUUUUUACUGAUAUGAAGGGGAGAGAAGAGGAGCCGGCUACAGAAUAAGAGCCAGCUGCAACACGUGCUCCUAGGCACUAUGUGAGAGUGAGGAUGUAGGUCAUGCAUUAAUAAAAUAACACACCUUCACAUCUAACUAUUGUAUGUGUCGGCUAUAACAUUGGCUAUAGAACAUCAUAUAGCCAUCAGCUGGCUGGCCGGAGCUCUCAGGACGCGGGUGGUUCCGUCGGGACCCUGCAGCGAGAGAGAGGAACGUGCGGAUUCAUUGUCAGCUGUGGGGUAAUCGAAUCUUUAGUUGUUUGGACACGAGAGUGAAGAUUCCGCUGAGACCGAAAAAGGCCAACGCACUUUUACAUUGGAAAAAACGAAAACGAAGAUGCAUCGACUUGGCAACUUGGCAGAAUCUGUUGGGGAGGUUCCAUACUUCUUCGACAAGAUAUAGUAUUAACCAUCGAUCCUGACCUUGGCUACACCACAUAUCCUUUCCACUAGACACUAGAGGCGUCAGGGGCCGGCGGGUGGCGACCCUUUUCUGAAGCCGGAAGAAACAGGCAGCGCACGCAACGCAUCCCGCUUUCCACCCGGCCUUCGCUGGCCGGCCAGCCGGCGUGCAGUAGCCGCUGCGCUGAUUGUGCUUUGCUAGACACAAGUGCGUACCGUCACAGGACCCGGACCUUUUUAAGCUUCAGUACCAUGCGCUCCGGGUACGCAGCUCAGCUCGCUUUCAGAACCAGAUUGUUCACCAGAUCAAGAUCAGGCAAUUCUCAUCCAACCGAGUAAUUGACAAAAAACUACCACAUUUCACGUACCCGUCCCACAGAACUACCACAUUUUGAAAACUGACCAAAAACUCCAGAUUAGUGUUAAUUUCGUGACAAAAAACUACCAGGUCGAGUUGAUGACCGCUUUUAUGAUUUUAAACCUGUUUAUGACAUGUGAACUGGCAGCAAAGUCAACUAUGUUUAUUUUGACCGUCAAGUUAACCGUUAUGACAGGUGGGACCCACACGUUAUCAUCAACCUUCUUCUUCCUCCCCUCCUCUCUCUUUUUGGCAUUUCAACAAACACCUCUUGUGCAUGAGACGGAAACAGGGGAGCUCCGGCCGCCUGCUCGCUUUACACCACGUCGGACCCCAGCAUGAGCGCCAGGUGAACUAGCUCCGGUCGGCUCUGCCUCGCACUGCACGGCGGCAGUGGCAGCAGCCUUCGCAGCGACAUCGAUGUCGGUGUCGCGAGCUACUGCUCAAUGGUAGAUGUGGGCCUGGCCGGCUGCCGGGCGCGGGCGUGUGUGGGAUGCAGGGGCAGUGCGGCGCUGGGAGGAGGAGGCGGGGCGAGCCGUGAGCGCGGGUCUGGGAGGGUUCACGCGGCAGAGGUAGAGGCAGGAGCCGAGCAACGACGGGGCUGCGGCGAGGCACGCAUGCCGGUGGGCAGCACAAGCGGACGGCACGGGCGGUCUGCGGCGUCAGGGUCGGCAAGCCGCAACGGCAGCAAGCCAGCAGGGGGCGCGGGCAAGAGCUGCGCGGCAGCAGGCGGGGGAGGCUAGGGGCUCGCCGGCGCGGGCAGCGGAGGCCAGCAGCGGGGACAACGGCAGUAGCGACAGGUAGCAACGACAGCAGAUAGAGCAGCAACGGCAGCGCCUAAGAGCAGCGACGAGCUUCGGCGACAAUGGCGGCGGUGGCGAGCGCCGUUAGCCGUUAGCGCGGCAGCCGUCCCGACAGAUGGGCCAGCUCUGCCAUAAAGGGGUUUAAAACGGUUAAAUCGGUCUUUAACUCGACCUGAUAGUUUUUUGUCACGAAAUUAGCACUAAUCUGAAUUUUUUGGUCAGUUUUCAGAAUAUGAUAAUUCUGUAGGACGGAUACAUAAAAUGUGGUAGUUUUUUGUCAAUUACUCCACCCAACCGGCACGACACGACUACAAGUUAGAAUAAACACAAGGGGGACAAACGAUUUGACGAAUCUUUCACUGCUGCUCAGCUUAUCAGAUCCAUUAUACGACUACUCCCUUCGUAGUGUCAAAAAAGUCCUACAUUAUGGGCGGAGGGACUAAACUUUUUUAGUGGAAGUUACGUACUACUAGUAGGUCUGGGAUUGUAUCGGCGUGCUUUUCUUUCCGCGUGCUUUUCUUUCCGCGUGCAUACCGAACGUGUGCUCCCCUACCUGCCAGUUCUGCUCAACGUCCUCGCAGUUUCACACUGGCAUUUCUUCUGUGAGCUCCUCCGCUUCGUGUCACUUGGGUCAGCAGUUGUUCAUGGAUCGUUAUCGCAUGACACUGGCGGUACAGUUAACUGCAUCAUAUCUUAGUACUCAAGGUCUGAAUUAGAUACGGGAAACAGGAUGACUUCGAUGUAAUUCACUGACGUGUCCGUCGUAUCCAAAUCGUCUUCUCCAAUUAUCGCUGAACAUACUCUGCAUAUGCAUGAGGGUGGCGUCCGUUUGGAGCGCAUCAGCGUCGGCGCGAGGGCCCGUUGCAUCUAUGAUCCAUUAGUCCACUCUAGUUGGAAGGUUAGUUAGAAAACCGUCCCGUUCCAAGCACCAGUAUAGAAGCUAGGCAAUCGCAACUAAUGCUGUAGAGGGCACGUCAUGGUCCACCAAAUUAAGAACACGGAUAACAAACUCUGUUCUAAACCAGCAAUGCGCCAAAUCUACUUUAUUUUGCCUCUGUUUUAUUCUGCCUACGCGAUGUUCGCCCAUGCGUUAUGGUUUUCAGUAGCUAUAUCAAAUUCCAAGCUGCGAAGCAGGGGAGCACCCCGAGCACCACUAACCCUCACGCUGUUGUUACACCAUGCCAAGGUCGACUUAUGAAAAAAACAGUUCUCUCACUGUACUCCAUGCAAAUGUUGCUUGACCUGCUCCACCAGCUUUGAGAUGCAACACAAACUAAGACCUUGCACACAUAAGACGUAGUCGACCCGCUACAAGAGCCCAUCCCCAACAAAGACUCCGAACAACGAAGGUCGUCAUCGCACAUGCGACAGAGACUAGCGAGUAAGGAAGGUCACUGACACCACAAAAAUCUCAAUUUGGGAUGCUUAGGCAAUCCGGCACCAUCCUCAUGCUCCGCCGUCCUCGCUAGUGGCGACAUAAUCGGUCGAGAAAAACGUACUCAUCAUCGGUGGCAAAGUGAGGAGAGAAGGUCGCCGACAUUAACACCAACAAGUAGCACUAACGUAUCCCCUCAAGAACAAAGUAGCAAUAAUAUGUGGCUAAAAAGAUAUGUAACUCGUACUCCCUCCGUUUUUGUUUACUCUGCAUAUUACCUUUCGCCAAAGUCAAACUUUGUAAACUUUGACAAAGUUUAUAGACAAAAAUAUCAACAUAUACAAUAACAAAUCCAUACCGUUAGAUUCAUUAUUGAAUAUAGUUUCACAUCAUAUAGAUUUGUUAUUGUAAAUGUUCAUAUUUUUUUCUAUAAACUUGGUCAAACUUUAUGACUUCAGUCAAAUCUAAUAUGCAGAGUAAAUAAAAACGGAGAGAGUAUUAACUAAGAUGUCUAUAAUAUUUUUUUAGUAAGCUCAUAUAAAUAAGAAAUCAUAGUUGCCAAUGUAUCAUAACAAAAUAAGCUUUGAUUAUAAAAGUGGUUACCUCUCCAUUUUUCUUGGCAUUCUAACGGGGUUGUGACUAGAGGCUAAUCUAGAUUGUGCAAUCUACGUGAUUACCCACCAAGACCUUCAAGUUGUUAUCAGAAAAAUCAACACGUCAUAUUAAAUCUCUUGGUCCAUUCUAUGGAUAAAACAGCUUUAAUGCCACUUACAUAUCAGGUCAGCAGAUGGAACCAUCAUUUUUUGCGGAAGGGGGAAGUGGAGAUUUGGGGCGGUGGACAAAACGUUUCUAGAAGAAGAAUAUUGAUCGAUCCUCUUUCUUAGGAGUGGGAAACACUUUAUUCAAUAACCAGCCACAUGGAUAUAGAUCUAACAACCAAACAUGACGACCAACAUUGAGGGAGCAAGCCGCUCUAGCCAGACCAUGAGCUUCCAGGUUCACAGGGAAUAAAAAAUGGCAGGGUCUGGAUUUAAUCUCAUGUAUGAUCUUGGUGCAUGAUCCAAGAUAGGAUUCAUUCACGCGCUCUCUAGGGCAUAAUCAUGAUAAUGUCGAUUGCAACAUCUUUGCUACGACACACCUUAAUCAAAUUUUGUUUUCAUUACAGCAACAAAGCUUAUGUGACAAUUGUGAAACAAGUGAACCAACCUCCCGUGAAGGGUCUAAUUAGUGUGAAUUUAUUUAUUCUCGAUGUGUGUAUUUGAUCAAAAGUAAUGGAAUGUGGUUGGUUAGAUAACAUAUUCUUAGGAUUGUUGGGUCAUCUAGAUCGCCAUUUUUUGUGACCAAUAAUUGUUCCAUGUUUUUCCUAGGUACAGUAUGUGUACAUUGCCAAUUUAUUACCGACCCCGUGUGACUUGUAAGUUCAUUUGACCAUGAAAAAACAAGUAAUCCCUCCGUCCCAAAAUGUAAGAUUAUUUUUGACACUAUCAAAUCAUAGUGUCAAAAAUGAUCUUAUAUUUUGCGACGGAGGGACUAUAUAAUUAUGCCAAUGAUUCAAUUUAUAUUCUAUAAGUUUCUAAAAAUUAGCUUAUAAAAUCAUACAUACAUUACACACCACUAUUAACAUAUUUGUUAGAUCAUACCCUUUAAAGAUUUUACCAGAUAUUUAAGAACACAAAGACUUACAUAUACAAUAUACAAUUUAUGCUAGCGUAAAAUAAUCAUUCAAGAAGCCAUGCAUUAUUUAUUUAUUUUUUGUCACCGGGAAAAAAGAAAACUAUCACAAAUAUUAUUUUUUGUCACAAAGUACAAUUUAGCAUACUACGAGUGUGUUAUUUUUAAUACUCAUUAAAUUUGUGUAGACAAUAAUAUUUUAUUAAUAUUUAGUAACAUCAUUGUGUUCUUAACUAUGUUAAUUAUGUAAUACAAAAUGUACUUGUUGAAAUUGUACUAUGAAAAAAUAAGUAAAAGUGUAAAACUUUAGUAUAAAAAAACUUUAGUAUAAAAAAACUUUAGUAUAAAGAAGGGACCGGCCCUGGAGGAGAUGGCCACAAAUGACAGAAGUAGAUCAAUUUACUAAACCCCAGGGCGGACACUUUCUUACAUAUGUUUAUGUACAUCACCUAAAUUAACAAAGAAGUAACAGCUGGAUCUUCAAUUUUUAUUUGUGAUUGUUAUGCAUCAUUCAAAUAUGCUGUUUUAUUGAUUUUCCUUUGCGUGUGAAAUACAUAAAAAUAUUGUUAUAGUCAUCCUCUUCCAAUUCUAGAUCUCAAAAUUUUAUCAAUGAUCAUACCAUGUGGGUGGAGCCAAAAUUAUUAUUAUUAUUAUUUAUUAAAAAUUAAAUAACUCUAUUUUUUCAAAAAACCAAAAAUGAUAUUUGAACUAAAAUUAUUUAUUUUUUGUACAUAAUAAUCCAUUAAAAAUUCGAGGUAUAUUAUAUGUCACAUCGAGAUUCUCGUCAAAAUAUUAUUUUGGAAGUAAAAUUUUUCCUUACUAAAAAGUCCGGUAAUGGCAUUUAAUUGGACAAAAACAUUUAUUUUCCUCCAAUACUUCCCCAAAUUUUUCAUUAGUCACAUUUCAUCAUUUUGAACCUCCCACAUGAGUUUCACCACAUGGUCAUGUUCAACAUAUUGAGCAAACCUCUCAAAAACAGAUUCUGCCUUAGGGUUCAAUGUUUGGUCUAUCAAUUUUUUUUUUUUAAAAAACCUCAUAGAAUCCUCUGACACCCCUAUGUCUAGUCGACAUCCUCUCUUGGCCGGUAAUAGUAAGAAGAGGGGUGAAAAUUCUCCAAGGCCUGGCUUCACCUACUCAUUUUCUUCCCUCUCACAGCCUGUGGCACCUAAAAUGUACCAGACACUCUCUUCCUCUCUUCUUCUUCCUCGCUUCGUUGGCAUGCCAUUUGUGCGCUACUACAGCACUGGGCAGAGCUCUGCCCGACCCCAUCUUCCUCCCUGGUGCGCCUCUCUUUCCCUAGUGAGCAUCCUCCCGCCGCCUUUAUCUUGAACCAGCCACGAUCUUUAUCUUGGCUAGCUACGCUGCACAUUCGUUCGACUACGAAGCGUGAUGCAUCUUCGUUCAACUACAAGGCUGGGACUGAUCACACUCGUGCCCCUUUUCUCAAGCCAGAAGGAAUGGGCAACGCGCGCCACACAUUCCUGUCAGCGCCAGUUCCGUGCUCCGGGCAUGCAGCUCAGUUUGCGUCCUAAACUAGAGUAUUUCCGAGAACAGGCAGAUCUCACCCAACUGCAACCGGCACGACUGGAUUUUAGUUUAAAUACAGUAUAAAACAGAACCAGCGCACAUGAUUGACGAUGUGUGCGUUCCUAAACCGUAUCCGCGUGCAUUUCUUCCUUGUGUGCACACAGAACGUGUGCUCCCUGCUCCAAGCUCUCCAGAACGCCCUCGCGGAUUCACAUGGGCAUCUCGGUGAGUUUUUUCAGAACGUCCUGCAUGUUUCGAAUCAGCAGUUACUUACACAUCGUUAUCAGACAAGGACUUAGCGACAUAACUGCAUGUCUUCUCAUUUAUGUGUGAGUUGGACAUGGGAAACAUGAUAUCUUUGAUGUAAUUGCGCAGACGUGUCCAUCAUACCGAAUUGCUCGUCUUCUCCAACUAUCACUGAACAAACCAUGCAUGCGUGAGGGCGCCGUCCGUUUGGAGCGCGUCGGUGAGGUCCGUUGCUGCCACUGAAAUGCUCCGUGAAGAAUCUAUUAUGAUCCAUCUAUCGGUCUAGUCUAGCAGGAAGGUUAGUUAGAAAACCAUCGCGUUCAAGUGCGGCCAGUAGAAGCUAGGCAGUCACAUCCGAUGCUGUAGAGGGCACGUCAUGGGAAACCAAAUUAAGAAGAUGAAGACGACAGUGACAAACAUUGUUCCCAACCAGUAAUGCGCCAAAUCCACUUUAUUUUGCCUUUCUGUUUUAUUAUGCCUAAGCGAUGGAGGCCCAUGCGUUUGGAUGAUACUAUAUAGCUAUGUCAAAGCAAGAUGCAAAGCAGGGGAGCCGUCCGAGCAGAGGCUGGCAAGGAUUGUUCUUGGCACGGAAGAAAAGUUCCUUGGCACGCUCCACUAAACCCCACGCACGCCAAGUCAGUAAACCUCACGCCUAGCCAAGGUCGACCUUAUAGAAACACUUCGCCUACUAUUUCACUCCACGUAUUGUGUCUUUCUUGACUCGCUCCCACAACUUUGAGUGAAACGCUAGCGAACCACAUUGACAUUGUUAACCUAUUGCUGCUCGCGUAAGAGUAUAUACAGCCGGACUUAGCAAACUCCACUCCCCUAAUAUCCACGGAUGCACCCGGGUAUGCCCGCGGACGGAGCCGAACUGCCUGUUUGGCCUGCCGCAUAGCCACGCACCUCAAAUGUGGAUCCUCAAAUCCAUAUGCAAGCCAUGCGCAUCUAUUAUACGACACAAAUUCGUCACAAUUCAACAGUAGCAGGACAAAAAAUCUCCUGCCAAUGUCCACUCCAUUACAUACAUAACAAACCUAUGCAUUGAAGUGCCCGCAGGAAUCCACCUUACGAUCUGGCACAAAGUCACCGACAAAAGCAUGUUGCGACAUGCAACCGGCCACAUCCGGCAGGUCAUCGUCUUGGGUUAAAAUCCCAUUAACCUUAACAUCCAACACACUGCAUAUUUGGGAGGUGAGAUGGAUUUACCUGAUUCUUGCCCCAUUACACAAUCGAUGUAAUCUUCGCCCACAGCUCAUCGUCCUCCUCCAUGUUCGCCCCGCCAUCGACCAUCCUUGGUACGCAUGUUCCACCCAUCUACAAGCACGGCGGUGAGAGAUGGGUGAGAGACAUAGAGCGACGAGGGAGAGUCAGAGAGGGUUGUAUGAAAGGGGUGAGAUCGAGUGAUGGCAUGAGCUAACCUCAAGCCAACGGGUUGCCGCCGUUCUAUACCUAAGUCGUCACGCUCAAUGCAGGGCACCGCCGCCGCCAAGCUCUGGAGGGUUAGGGAUUUGGAGGCCCCGAUUUGGGAUUCAGGGAUUAUGAACCAUGAUUGGGGCUUUUGUGAAAAUAAAUAAAUCCAAGGUUUUUUUUAGAAAAUAUCAUGCCACACACCCCAACCUCCGCAUCUGGUGACAAUGGAACCCGCGCCACGCUGGCGUGCCUACUUCAAAUGAGAUAAGCACUCUAUUUGCACGUGAAGGCCAAGUUUUUACACCACUUCAAUAUGUAUACCACAACUUAUAGCACCAAAGUGAUUGUUUGCGCCAAGUUCUAGCACUACAAUGCGAUUGACUCUUUAUUUUAUUAUAUAUGCCUACCUGAUGUUCGCGCCACGCGUUGUGGUUUUGAGUAGCUAUAUCAAGCUACUCCCUCCGUCUGGGUUUAUUAGGCCUCUUAACAUCACAAGCAUGUCCUUUUUUAUAAGGCCUCGCUUUGAAAAGGUGCAUGCACGCAACCAUUUCAUUAGUUGCAUUGAAAGUCAUUGUUGUUGGUGCCAUGACUGGCAAAUUAAUACACUUCAUGCGUGUUUUUUUAUUGGCUGCAUGCAUGUAGGAGAGUGCGUUGAGAGUGGAAUGGAAGAAUUAAUGUGAGCAAAUUACUAUGUGUCUUGGUCUAAGAGAAGUUGUCUUUAGGCCUAAUAAACAGGGAGUACCUGCCAAGCAAGGGUGCACCUCGAGCAAAACAAAGUCAUGUAGGGUUUGUAGACUUGACAACCCUCACGCUGUUAUUACACCACGUCAAGGUCAACCUAUAAAUAAAUAGUUCUCUCACUGUACUCCAUGCAAAUGGUGCUUGACCUGCUCCACCAGCUUUGAGAUGCCACACAAACGAAGACUGUGCACACAGGGACAGAGCUAGGAUUCUAACAUAGGUGGGGGGAAGGGGAGGGGGCAAGAUUUUGCCACUACUAUGCGGAGAGAAAAAAUCACGUGGAAAUAGUCUAGGUUAAUGAACUUAAUCUUCACCAAGAGGAGAAAACAAAUGUUUGGUAACGAACAAUUCAAUUUGUCAUAAAUUAUUGUCAAGAAAGGAAAACAAAUGUGAAUAGCAAUUCAAAUGUUAAUGAACCAAAUCUUUCGACUACAUAAGAGGAUAAACGAUGCAAAACCUUGUUUCACGAGUUAUCACUAAUCCCUAAUCAAAAUUUUAGGUAUGAAGUUUCUGCAGUUCUAAUUUUGAAAGAUAAGCCCGGUACGAAAGACCAGAAGUAAUCUAACCAUUUUGCAUUGCUAGUUGCCGCUCAUGUUGGGUGUGUGAUCGGUCGGCAGCGCGUCCACGCAAGCAUCGCCUCAACCUCUCCAGAAUUUUUGGUCUUAGAUUGAAAGCUACUUCCUCUGUUCCAAAAUAUAGGUCGUUUUAGCGAGCUGUUUUAGCUUGCUAAAAUGACUUGUAUUAUGAAAAGAAGGCAAUAGAUUCAUAGGGCUAGAUCAAAACCGCCCUAGACGUCUGUGGAAGCUCAGCGAGGCAAAGAAAAGAACACGGCCUGACUUCGUUUAUGUGAGCUUUUGAGCCUAGGUAUAGAUGGGAUUGGAGUUUAGCUGGGUUUUACGUGCUUAGGAGGGCUAAAUUAGUCAUAGGUCAGGCUGUUAGUGGGAAAAAUCAGAUCAUUUGGUGGUGGGGGCGGUGGGGGGGGGGCGGUUCUAGCCCCCCAUCGCCCCCUGGAUUCGUCCCUGCAUGCAAACAUAAGCAGGUAGUCCAGCCGCACCACGAGCUGAUCGCCAACAAGACUCCAAACAACGAAGGUCGUCAUCGCACAUACGACAAACGUUGACAAGGAAGGAAGGUCACUGGCACCACAAAAAUCACAAUAUGGGACACUGGCAAUCUCAUGUUGUCCUCGCUCGUGGCGGCAUAAUCGGUUCGCAAAACGUACUCAUCAUCAAGGGCGGAACUAGGAGAAAAGGUCACCGACGUCAACAUGAACAAGUAGCACUAACGUAGCCCUCGAAAACAAAAUAGCAAUGCUAUAUACCACUGUAACAUAUUUGGUAGAUCAUACCCUCUAAAGAUCUUUACAAGAUAUUUAAGGAUACCAAGACAUACAGAUACCAUGCUAGUGUAAAACAUCCAUUGAAGAAGCCAUGCAUCUGUUGUAUUUUAUUUUAUUUGUCACGUGAAAAAAGAAAAAGUAUCACAACUUUUUUUCAUAAAGUAUUAUUUAAUUUAGCAUUCUUUGAGUCUGUUCUUUUUAAAAAAACUCAUUAAAUUUGUAUAAUGAAUAAUAUUAUAUUAAUAUUUAGUAACAUUAUUAUGUUCUUAACUAUGUUAACUAUGUAAUAGGAAAAUAUACUUGUUAAGAUUGUACAUUGAUGAAAUAAAUAAAAAUGUAAAAUUUUAGUAUAAAGAAGGGGAAAACCGGCCAUGCAGGAUAGACGCGGGAAUAACAUACGUAGGUCAGUGCACUAAACAUUAAGGCGAUUACUCCCCAUCACACAAUUUUAAUAAAGAAGCAAAAACUAGACCAUUGAUUAUUUAUUUUUAUGAAUUUUUGGCUACUUUGUAUUUUUUUUGUUUUAUUAUAGGUUUUCCUUUUUUAAACUACACACAGUAGGGAAAAUCUCCACUGCAAUUUUUUCCUAUUAAAUAAAGCAAGCUACGAAUUAAUAUCUUAUAAGGCUUGAGAGAAGCCUAGAUUAUUGGUUUUUCUUUGUAUAUUAAAUUCAUAUAAAUAUUUUUAUAGUCAUCCCUUCCAAUACUAGUUCUUUAUUUUUAUCAAUGAUCAUACCAUGUGGGUGGAGACCAAAAGUAUAUUAAAGAAAAUUCAAAUCAAUCUUUUUUUCUAAAACCCCCAAAAAUGAUAUCUGAACUAAAACUAUUCAUUUUGCUUACACUAUAAUUCAUUAAAAAUCAGUUGCGUGGUAUAUUAUAUGUAAUACCAAGAUUCCCUUCAAAAGUAUUGUUUGGAAGUUAUUUAAAUAUUUCUCUUGUUAAAAAGUCCAGAAAUAGCAUUUAAUUGGUUAAAACAUUUAUCUUCCAAAAAUCCCCCAAUCUUUUUAUAGGCUCCAUAUCAUCAUUUUGAACCUCCCACGUGAGUUCCACCACAUAGAAGGCCUAUUGAGCAAAACCCUAAAAAUCAUAUUCUGCCCUAUGGUUCAAUGUCUCGUCUUUUAAAAACAUUUCAAAAAUAGUAAGAAGAGGGGUGAAACCCUAGUUCACCAUGGCACUAAGUGCCAAAAAGCCUAUAAGGCUCGAAGGUGGUAUUUUCAGUUUGAGCUCACAUGAGCUCAGGUGAAUAGUAAAAUACAGUCAUGCUCCUGAACCUGAGUGCAUGAAUCGUCCUUGGUAUUCCCCAGAUCAGGUAGAUCUUACCCAACCGGCAUGUGCCGACUGAUUUUAUUUUAAAUAAAGUAGAGCCAGUCCAGCACACAUGAUUGACGAUAUGUGCGUCCCGUAGUCGUAUCCGCGUGCAUUUCUUCGUUGCGUGCACACACAAUGUGUGCUCCCUGCUCCAAGCUCUAUAGAACGCCAUAGAAAAUUCACACCACCGUCUCAAUGAGCUUCUGUCAGAACGUCCUGUGUUCUUUGGACCAGCAGUUUGCUUACACAUCAUUAUCAGAAAAGGACUUAGCGAUAUAACAUCAUGUCUUGUCAUUUAUGUGUGAGUUGGAUACGAGGAACAUGAUAUCUUUCAUGUAAUGCACAGAUGUGUCCGUCGUACCCGAACCGUCUUCUUCAAUUAUCACUGAACAAAGGGUGCAUGCGUGAGGGUGGCAUCGUCGGCGUGGUCUCGUUGGUGUCACUCGAAGGCUUGGUGAAGCAUCUUUGAUCUAUUGGUCUAGUCUGGUUGGAAGGUUUGUUAGAAAACCGUCCCGCUCCAAGCACCACUGAAAGCUAAGAAAUCACAGCUAAUGUUGUAGCGGCCACGCCCUGGUCCACCCAAUCGUAGGCGAUGUUCGCCCACGCGGUCAGAUUUUCAGUAUAUCCAGAAAGAUACAUAGUGGGAGGAACCCAACCUCCUUGGAGUUUAGCGCUCCCUGGCCGUUGGAUCUUUCCUCUGAUGCAUUUUUGACCGUCCGAUCACGAGAUGGAGGGAUUUGGGACGUCAGAUCAAUCCGUGAAACUGUAGAUCGAAACAGUGUCGAAAUCCUGUGCCAUCGUGUGUGAUUCCAGUGCCCCGCCGAGGGCAAUUUCGUCAUUUCACUCACAGGAGGAUAAAAGGGCUGCUCCCAUGGAGACAACCCUGGCCGGCUCUUCUCCCGCUCGCUCCGCCUCCUCCUUCCCACCCGCGCCUCCCUCUCCUCCUUCCCCGCCACCUCCCGGCCUCCUCCCCACCCGCGCCUCCCUCUCCUCCUUCUCUGCCGCCACCUGUCCUCCUCCCCACUCGCGCCUCCCUCUCCUCCUUCCACCCCUUCGAUCUGGCGCCGCCAAACCCUAACGCCCCGCCCCGGCCCCGACCCCGGCUCCCUUGGGAGGGAAGGAGGAAUGGCGAGGCGAGGCAAAGGCGACGGCGUAUGGGACGCGGCGCGGGCGGCGUGGCCCAGGGGGUCGGCCUCCUCCCCUACUCCUCUCUCCUCUGCCCCCAGCGCAUAGUCGCGCCGCUCCUCUUCCUCUCCCGCGUCCGUCCCGGCGGCGGCGGCGACUUGCAGGCAAUGGGCGAGUCCCUGUAGGGGGGGGGGGAGGAUGAGGGCCUCUCGCGCUCGCUUGUGACCCUCAACUGUGGCUAGGGUUUCGGGCUGGGCAUUGCCUUCGUCGCCGGCGCGGCUCUGGUGGACUCCGGCAGCUCCUCUUCGUCUCCUCCCUCGCCCCCACGCGAGGCAAAGAAGAAACGAAGCACCUCACCUGGCUCCUCAGAACUCAGGCACUUUCGGCUAUCGGAACCACUUCUCUGGUAAGUAACUAGAGAUACUUGAAGUAAUUAGUAAGUUUGGUCCUUGCUUAGCCAUAUAAUCAUAGGACAAAUAUGUCGUGGUUGUAGUUGUUUGAAUCCAGGUGAUGUUUGUAGGAAUAUUAGUAUAAGCUCCGCAGAGAAGAAAAGCCACGAAUUUGUAGGAGCUGGUUACAUCAUUUAUUUGUGAUGUUUAUGGUUGUAGUGGUUGACGGCGACUAUGUUCUCAAGACAGGUUCCGAUGAUUUGUAUCUUUGUUGGUUCUCUGAUAGAAAAUGUGAAGGUUCUUCGUGACCACAAUGAGACAUCGGUUUUGUUUACUUUUGAACAUAAUGAGUACAAGUUGAAGGUUUGCUCGUCACGCUUCCUCUAUAGCCCAUAUGAGCUUUAGUCGGAUCACUGCGUGUCGAUGGUAUAUAUAUGUGGAACUACCUAAGGUCACAAUCCUAUAUCAUUUGUUGAUUUUAAAUAAUAUGGAAAUGGCCUAAGAGAUCAUGAAGUACUGUAGGAUUAUUUUUUAUAUGAUAUGUGCCUUCAAUUGAUCUUGGCUAACCACAAUCUCUUGGGACAGAUUGUUACAUUGCGUGAGAUAUAUGUAUUUUGUCUUCAAGGCUUCAAGUGUGGUUAGCACAACAUACAGAGACAGUUUGGCAGUAGUGCAAUCGGGGUCUGGCCGCGUCUUUCAAGAGUGGUGUCAAUAACGAGAGGCUUCUAUGACAAUGGAGGCAGCGACAAGCACAUAUAUACUCUAGCUUUGAGGCACUAAAUUGUGUAUGUUCUGAACUUACAUUAGAGCUUCACAUAUCAUUAUCGUGAGUCAGCAAAAAAAUUGCAUUGCAAAACUGUACACUUUUCUUUUGACCGUUUGACAUCUUAAUCCUUUUAGGUUGUCAUGGAAGUCUAUGAGUGGAUUUUUGUUAUUGUGUUGAGCCAUGCUUUGAUCUAUUAAUUGGCCAAUAUUUGAUGUCAUAUUAUCUUUAGAUGCAUCACUUGUAGUUAUCCUUUGAUUUCUAUUAGUUGCCCAUUUUUUUUCCUGGAGCCGUAAUUCUGUUAUAGCAUUUCCCUGCCUUUUUUUCUUUGAAAAACACCAUUGAUCAGAAACUGAUUGUGCCAGCAGAAUAUUUAAGCAUAGCUAGGAUAUUUAUAUUUUAGUUGGCAAAUAGUUCUGCCAGUUUUUUUUAUUUAUCUGUUAUCUAUUUAUUUCACCUUUUAAUACUUUGAAUAUAUGAAUAUACUAGCACAUAUUGUUCGUUGCUUUGUAAAGUUAACUUUUGUAGGAACCUGAUUUGCAAAGUUUAACUUUCUAUAACAGUUUGGUGUGUUCCAACUAAUCAAUGCCCUGCUGGUCCUCUUCGUGUCUCUGGCGGUAGUACCACUUGCCAUCCAGCGGCCAAUGAGGUACAAUGGCAUAACUGACAUAAUCUCUGUUUUUCCCUUACAUUUAAAAUUUUAUUAGUUGUCACGUACUUAUGGUCAUGUACUUACUAAUGCUUUGACCUGAGACUAUAACCACUGUAGUUAUACCACCUCGAUGUAAGGUGGCAGUAAAAGGCCUUUUGAUUUUACCUUCGACACUACAAGCAGCUAAUAGAUAGGCCCAUUGCUUGCAUGAUGAUAAGUUUUGACCACAAGAAUGUUCUAACAAAUCUUAUCCUUGAUUGCAACUAAAAGAGAACUGACUAGGCCCCGGUCAUCUCCGCCUCUGAUGGUGCUCCUAGACGUGCUACACAUCGCCUACUCGUCUCCUUGGCCGCUUCGGUGCCAGUGGCGUUCAUGCUCGUCGGUGGGACGGUGCAAGGCGCAACUCCGACGUGGUUCCUCGCUGGUUGGAUGGCGUUCAGGCGCAACCCCGGCGCCCACUGAGUACUGCCUCGGCUACAACCUCCCUUGGUGAGCUCCAUCAUCCUCUGCUUCGGCUACUAUACAGAACAUGGUCGUGGCUAUGUUGAUAUAGUGCUUGUCUGGUUGAUGCUCUGUAGUUGUGGAUCCAUGCUUGAGCUCUCUCAGAGCUCAGACACUCUCGGCCGUCGGAUCUUUUUCCUGAUGCGAUCUGGGCCGUUGGAUCUUGCCCUCGGUUCACCUCAUCCGUCGGAUCAAAACUGAGGCCGUUGCAAUGAACAGCGUGCGCCCCGGGCGCACCGAAUGAUGCAUGGCUUUGUGAUUAACCAGUUUGUGGUUGUUGAUUUGUUCUGUGCUGGAUGGACUUUCUGUUUUGGCGAGUUCGCUAGAGUUGCUCUUAGCUUGCGCGGGCUAUGGUGAUCGGUUAUGGCUGAUAUAAGCAUGCUCUCGAGCAAUUGAGGCACUUGUGGGUAUUNNNNNNNNNNNNNNNNNNNNNNNNNNNNNNNNNNNNNNNNNNNNNNNNNNNNNNNNNNNNNNNNNNNNNNNNNNNNNNNNNNNNNNNNNNNNNNNNNNNNNNNNNNNNNNNNNNNNNNNNNNNNNNNNNNNNNNNNNNNNNNNNNNNNNNNNNNNNNNNNNNNNNNNNNNNNNNNNNNNNNNNNNNNNNNNNNNNNNNNNNNNNNNNNNNNNNNNNNNNNNNNUCGUUUCUUUGAGUCGUUUUGAUCAUGUGCUUAUUUUAGUGACUCUGUCCUUGGAUGGUCAUUUCUGAUGAGUGAUAACCAGGGCAGUUUCACCCUUGUAAGAACAUAUUGAUCUGGUGAUGGAGACACUAGGGGAAGGGUCAUGAUCAGGCAAAUGCGAAUCUGAGCCCAUUCAAAUGCAGUUCUGGUCUCAAGCACAGUGUGCUAUGUUUUGUCGUUCUGUAUUUGUAUUUAGCGCCUCUUUGGUUUGUACAUUUCCACAAUAAUAGCUUCAAAUCUCUUUUGCUAUUUAAAACUGCAGUUUUUUAAGGGGCACACAUACACAUGAUGUGUUCACAUGUUAGUUGAAAACUUGGUGAAUUAAAUAUAUAUCUCAGCUACUAUUGAUAAUCAUGGCUAAAGCAAAAUUUCUUCUUUAAGUUUGCUUCCCAUGUACAUGUGUUACUGCUUGUGAAUCUCUACCGUUCAUGAGAACUUGCUGCAGCUCACAGUAGAGCUGCCACAAAAAAUUGUUGCUGAGCUGGCAUUGAUCCUUGGGAAAUAGAGGUAUGCCCAUUCUAUUGUGUUCUGUAUGUUCCAUUUGAUGCAUCUUGAAUCUGCUUUUCCACACGUUCAGCUUCUAGCUCCAAUACAACACCUUCAUAUUACCUGCCAAUUCACAAGUGCAUGUUCUAUAUCAAAUAUAAUUGUUCCCUGUGUCGAAACAUAGUGUGACGCCCGGAUGAUUAGGCUACAAUAAUUCCACGCUAAUGAUGCCACAUCACCUCGGUUACUGUUACUAAUCUCGCGAUGGUUCAAAAACGGUUCGAAUUCAAAUUUAAAAUCGAGUCAAACAAUUAAAGUUUUCAAAAGUCAAAACUAAAAUGUGCUUAAUGUGGCAAAUAAAUCAUGGAUAUUAUUGGUGGAUUAACAACAUCUUUAUAAAAUAUUUAAAUACCCUAAAGUGAUUAAAACAACAUCAAAACAAUUAGUUAUACUCCUCAUAUAUUUUACCAAAUACUAAACUAUUUUUAUUCUGAGGUGAAACUUCUUAGAAUAGUGGAUUAAUUUGACACACUAUUUUUAGAGCUAUUUUCAUAUUUUACUAAACCAAAAAUAUAGUGCAACUAAAAUAAAACAGAAAGAAAAUGAGAAAACAACAACAAAAGAAAAAUAAAAGCCCCACCCCUCGCUGGGCCUCGGCCCAGCUGGCCACGGGGCUAGCCAGGCCGCCCAGCCGGCCCACUUGGCCCGCCCCCCUCCCACACUCACUCCCUUAUCCCCUCGCAACCGGAAACCCUAGCCCGAUCCACCACCACUCCCCCUCGCCUCCUCCCCCGAUUCCCCCUGGAUUGGGAUCGACCCCUCCACUCUCCCCUCACGCCUCGCUCCUCUCGCUCCCUCCCGAUCCGGAUCGGGGCGCAACGGCGCCCCCUCGCCGCCGCUCCNNNNNNNNNNNNNNNNNNNNNNNNNNNNNNNNNNNNNNNNNNNNNNNNNNNNNNNNNNNNNNNNNNNNNNNNNNNNNNNNNNNNNNNNNNNNNNNNNNNNNNNNNNNNNNNNNNNNNNNNNNNNNNNNNNNNNNNNNNNNNNNNNNNNNNNNNNNNNNNNNNNNNNNNNNNNNNNNNNNNNNNNNNNNNNNNNNNNNNNNNNNNNNNNNNNNNNNNNNNNNNNNNNNNNNNNNNNNNNNNNNNNNNNNNNNNNNNNNNNNNNNNNNNNNNNNNNNNNNNNNNNNNNNNNNNNNNNNNNNNNNNNNNNNNNNNNNNNNNNNNNNNNNNNNNNNNNNNNNNNNNNNNNNNNNNNNNNNNNNNNNNNNNNNNNNNNNNNNNNNNNNNNNNNNNNNNNNNNNNNNNNNNNNNNNNNNNNNNNNNNNNNNNNNNNNNNNNNNNNNNNNNNNNNNNNNNNNNNNNNNNNNNNNNNNNNNNNNNNNNNNNNNNNNNNNNNNNNNNNNNNNNNNNNNNNNNNNNNNNNNNNNNNNNNNNNNNNNNNNNNNNNNNNNNNNNNNNNNNNNNNNNNNNNNNNNNNNNNNNNNNNNNNNNNNNNNNNNNNNNNNNNNNNNNNNNNNNNNAGUCCACCCCAUCGCCGGACCAUGCCGGCAGGGUCCCGCCGGCGCGCACUGGACCCGGCCGCAGCCGCUCCCAGCGAGUCGCCCCGCUCCGACGCCCUCCAACGCCGGCAGGCCGCCGGCCACGACCACCACGACCCGUUCCGGCCUCCCCAAGCUCCUCUACUGCUCGAUGUGAGCACCUCGCAUAUACCCCCAUGAUGCCGCUGCUACUCUUACUUCCUGUUACUGCUGCUCAUGCUUAGCUACUGCUGGUCCUGCCGUUGCGUUGCCGUUGUCGCUGCGUCGUCCCCUUGUUGCUGGUGCGCCACCGCGCCCCGGCUCCCCUGCCGCCCGCGGGCCUGCUCGUUGCGGCCCCGCACUCCGUUUCCCUCCCACGCCAGCCGGCCACUGGCCUCGCCACGCUCGUGGCUGGCCCCCCCUGCCUGUCGAUCUGGGCGCUCGCCCAGUCGGGCGCCGAUGCCCAGUGCCCGCACCCGCGGCAACCGCACGCCCGUUAGCCCCCAGGGCCCUAUGACAAAGGGGGCCCGCCCCCAGAACGUUAAAAAAAGUAUAUAAAAAUAAAUAAAACAAUAAUUAAAAUAAAAACAAAUUUAAUUAAUUAAUUAAUUAAAUUAAUUAAGUUAAUUAACCUUAAUUAAUUAAUCUAAUUAACCUGUUAGCUUAAUUAAACAGUGAUUAGUUUAACUAAACCCUAAUUAACCUAACAGAGUAUGACAGGUGGGUCCCACUGGACCCACGCGUAAGUUUGACUUAGUCAACUCUGUUGACUGCUGACGUCAGCAUGACAUCAUGCUGACGUCAUAAAUCCAUUUUUCGAAUUAAUUAAAUAAUUAAUUAAAUUCCAGAAAUUAAUAAAAUCUUUAGAAAAUCAUAUCUUUUAAUCCGUAACUUGGAUUAAAUUAUUUUCAACAUGAAAGUUGCUCAGAACGACGAGACGAAUCCGGAUACGCAGUCCGUUCGUCCGCCACGCACCCCUAACCUAUCGAACCCGCAACUUUCCCCCUCCGGCUCCUCUGCCCGAAAACACGAAACACCGGGGAUAUUUUCCCGAAUGUUUCCCCCCUUAACCGGUACCACCUCAUACCACGCUAGGGCACGCCUAGCAUCGUUACUUGUCUUGUCAUGCAUCGAUAUGCAUCUGUUUGCAUGGUAUUCAUUGUUUCUUCCCCCUUUUCUCUCCGGUAGACUACGAGACCGACGCUGCUGCUGCCCAGUUCGACUACGGUGUUGACGACCCCUCUCUCUUGCCAGAGCAACCAGGCAAGCCCCCCCUUGAUCACCAGAUAUCGCCUACUCUUCUCUAUACUGCUUGCAUUAGAGUAGUGUAGCAUGUUACUGCUUUCCGUUAAUCCUAUUCUGAUGCAUAGCCUGACAUUGUUGCUACAUCUGUUGAUACCCUACCUGCAAUCCUAAAUACUUAGCAUAGGAUGCUAGUUUAUCAUCAUUGGCCCUACAUUCUUGUCAGUCUGCCUUGCUAUACUAUUGGGCCGUGAUCACUCGGGAGGUGAUCACGGGUAUAUACUAUACAUACAUACAUACUAUACAGAUGGUGACUAAAGUCGGGUCAGCUCGAAGAGUACCCGCGAGUGAUUCACGGAUUGGGGGCUGAAAGGACCUUUGUCCCGACGGCCCUCUGUGUGGAUCUUUGUGGCGGAGCGACAGGGCAGGUUGAGACCGCCUAGGAGAGAGGUGGGCCUGGCCCUGUUCGGCGUUCGCGGAUACUUAACACGCUUAACGAGAUCUUGGUAUUUGAUCUGAGUUGGUUACGAGCCUAUACGCACUAACCAUCUACGCGGGAGUAGUUAUGGGUAUCCCGGCGUCGUGGUAUUAGCCGAAGCACUUCAGACGUCAGCGACGGAGCGGCGCGCGCCGGAUUGGACUGGAACGCCUGCUAGGCUAGGUCUGCUUCCGGCCGCCCAUGCAACGUGCAGGUGUGCUCAGGGCGAUGGGCCCAGACCCCUGCGUGCUUAGGUUUAGACCGGCGUGCUGACCUCUCUGUUUUGCCUAGAUGGGGCUGCGACGUGUUGAUCUUCCGAGGCCGGGCAUGACCCAGGAAAGUGUGUCCGGCCAAAUGGGAUCAAGCGUGCUGGGUAAGUUGGUGCACCCCUGCAGGGAAGUUAAUAUAUUCGAAUAGCCGUGAUCUUCGGUAACAUGACGACUUGGAGUUGUACCUUGACCUUAUGACAACUAGAACCGGAUACUUAAUAAAACACACCCUUCCAAGUGCCAGAUACAACCCGGUGAUCGCUCUCUAACAGGGUGACGAGGGGAGGAUCACCGGAUAGGUUUAUGCUAUGCGAUGCUACUGGAGAUGCUACUUGGAGAUGCUACUUGGAGAUGCUACUUGGAGGACUUCAAUCUACUCUUUUCUACAUGCUGCAAGACGGAGGCUGCCAGAAGCGUAGUCUUCGACAAGAUUAGCUAUCCCCUUCUUAUUCUGGCAUUCUGCAGUUCAGUCCACUGAUAUGGCCCUUUACACAUAUACCCAUGCAUAUGUAGUGUAGAUCCUUGCUUGCGAGUACUUUGGAUGAGUACUCACGGUUUCUUUCUCCCCCCUUUUUCCCCUUUCCUUCUUUCUGGUUGUCGCAACCAGAUGCUGGAGCCCAGGAGCCAGACGCCACCGUCGACGACGACUACUACACUGGAGGUGCCUACUACUACGUGCAGACUGCUGACGACGCCCUGGAGUAGUUUAGGAGGAUCCCAGGCAGGAGGCCUGUGCCUCUUUCGAUCUGUAUCCCAGUUUGUGCUAGCCUUCUUAAGGCAAACUUGUUUAACUUAUGUCUGUACUCAGAUAUUAUUGCUUCCGCUGACUCGUCUAUGAUCGAUCACUUGUAUUCGAGCCCUCGAGGCCCCUGGCUUGUAUUAUGAUGCUUGUAUGACUUAUUUAUGUUUUAGAGUUGUGUUGUGAUAUCUUCCUGUGAGUCCCUGAUCUUGAUCGUACACGUUUGCGUGCAUGAUUAGUGUACGAUUGAAUCGGGGGCGUCACACAUAGAUUCUGCAUUGUAUAGGAUUCCAGCUCUUUAACCAUUUCCGCAUGCUCUUACACAUAUGUGCUUUCAUUAAGAAGAAAAAUCUACCAUGCUAGCUUAGUUGAUCCAGGGCUUAAGCUAUAUACCAAAAUAACACCGAGAGGAGUUCUGUCAGAAGUACCUUGAGCCUUUUUAUUUUUAUAUUCUGUUUUGCACACUCAUUUAAUGCCACUUGGAAUAUGAAGUAGAAAAAUACCAUAAAGAGCUUGAUGACUUAUAACAUUACUCGGUAUUUUAUCGUUCUUAUUACUCCAUCAUAGGCUUAUAUAUGUUAUUUUCAGUCAUACACCACAUCGAACAUCCAAAUAUUGUGUGGCAGACCCUGUCCUAUGCUCAACCUGAUAUGCUCUUUUGUAGUGUUGAUUGUGUGUGUUAGGAAUAUGGCCUUUUUUGCAAGAAGAAACUUGAUCGAAGCUUUGUGUGAUCAAGUUUAUGUGUUGCUUGCUAUGAGUGUCUCGAGCAAGAGGACCAAGUGUUGGCAGGUGGGCGUCAACAAGGUGGGCUGUCAGCAGGUGUUCGAGUUGGUCGGUGGUGGUGCACCUGCGCCAUGAAUGGAUCAAUACUCUAGGAGGUUCUGUCGAGGCCUAAUCCAUCCAGGUAGUUUGUUAUACUACUGAUAUGAAUACACAUUAUUUAUCAAGAGCUUUUGUAUAUCAUAUUAUCAAGGAAAAUAAUCCGUCUAUGCAUUUCUUGUGUUCAUGUGCAGUUCAGAGCCAUUGUUAUCCAUCCAGCACUUAAUUUAACUAAAGCUUGUGAAAAUAUUUUUCCCAUAGAAAUAAUCACUUCGGAUUGGUAGUGUCAAAAGGAUGCAAAAUAUUUGUACACAUUUUUUUCCCAUUUUCAUGAGACUUCCACUCUGCUAUUGCAUUAGUAAUUUUCAUUGCCCUGUAUUACAUCAUUGAUUGUAAUCAGAGUAUGAUUAUAUGCUUGCUUCAUGGUGCUUUAGGUCAAGAUGUUUGGUAUAUGCUCAUCUUGUUGAGUUUAACUUUUAGCUAAUAACCAAAUUGUUUCCUUUUCCAGGAUUCUCCUAUGAUGGAAGAUGUUCUAAUCAUCUUACAGUCAAGGGUUAUGGCAGAUAAACUCACAAAAAUAUUUAUUUAGAUCUUUCAGUUUGGAAGUGCCAUGUUUUCUACUUGUACUCUACAGGCAGUGUUACUGAUCUGUUUUCAAUCUCAGUAUGCCGUCUAUCCGGAUUUUGUAUCGCUUGCAUAGUGCCUAAUAUCAUGAGCCAAUUCUAAUAUUAUUUAUAGAGCUUUCAUAUUAUCAUUAGUAUGAUGGAGCCUGUAAAGUAUUGUCCACUACUGAUUACAUUAGCUUCACCUCAGAACGUGGAAAGAGGAAGUAGAGUUAUCAAUACUACUGUAGAUAUUAAUGUUUCCGGAGCAUCGUUUCCAAUUGUCUGUUAUCUCAUUGUGUUUAUGAGCAGAUACAUCUCCUGUGACACUUAGUCUUACACUUGCUGAUAUAAACUACUUGGCAAUAUUUAUAGAAUGUAUGUCUUUAUAUUUGUACUAUUCGAUACAAAUCAGUUGUCCUCGGCAAACAUUGCGGCUUGCUUUUGGUACAAAUUUUGCCUCUAUGAUCUGUAGUUUUGUGUUUAUCCUGGGCAACAACUACACUUUGCUGGGCAUCAACUACACUUUGCUUUUGGUAUAUAUUUAAUCUAUAUGCCCUACAUUAAACUUAGUUAUCCUGGGCAACAACUAUACCUUGCUCUUGAUGCAUCUUUGUAGUGUUUGUGAUAUAUACUGAACACAUUAUUUUGGGGGGUUAUUUAAAUUUCUUUUGGAUGUUUUAAACGCUUUGUGAUAUUAAAGUUUUAGUCGUUGGGUCACUGUGAGGCAACACCCGCAAGGCGCGCUUCUAAUCUCAUCAUUAGACCAAAACAUUCGGACCGGCACCCUCGCGGCAAGGCGCGAUCCCGAUCUAGUAGCUAUAUGAAAGCAGGGGAGCCGUCCGAGCAGAGGUUGGCAAGGAUUCUUCUUGGCACGGAAGAAAAGUUCCUUGACUCGCUCCAGUAAACCCCACGCACGCAAGUCAUUAAUUUUUUUUGCUUUUGCUUUUCAACACGCACGCCACUCAUCAUCACACUAUUCCCCACCGCAAUCCCCAACGCGUGACACAGCUUCCACCCCCCUCGAUCGGAGCCGGGCCGGCACGGAACACUGCUCCCCUCCCCUCUCCUCGCACCGCACGCGCGCGCCGGGUCCCAAUCGAACCUCACGACGCACGCCGCGACCCGAUCCCGAUCCCACCGCGCCAGGAGCAUCGCCCCGUCCGCCCCGUCCGUAUCCGGCACCCCCGAGAACCAGAGUCCCGACCGACACCGCCCGCCACCCCGACUCUCCCGCGGCAACGCCUGAAAUACCCCGCCCCAGCGCCCGAUCCCGCGAGAAAACUCGCCACCCGUCGCUUGGGCUUGACUCCUCGUCUGCCUCGGAUCGAGUAGAAACUUCCGGUGGUAGGUCGCCCCGGCUUUACCCCACCGGCCACCACCCCCGCCCCGCCCCCAAAACUGUUCUCCUCCUCCGCCUCGUGGAAGCCGACUCUCUUUCCGUGGGGAGCGAAGCGGGGCGGGCGAUGAGGCCGGGGGCGCCAACGCGGAGCUCACCCACCCAGUCCACCGCAAGCAUGUGGCCGGGCAGGUGAACUCCACUCCCCCGCUCUCCCCACGCGCCGCGCGGUUAAAUUGCUCGCCUCCUCCACCCCGCAGACCGCAGCAGCAGAGGCCGAUCGAGCCGCGGCGGCAUGGGUCCCAACCUCAAGUACCGGGCUGGGCUCGUCCUCAUCGUCGCCGUCGUGCUCAUAUGGGUCACCUCCGCCGAGGUCACGCAGGUAUGCUCCUGCCAAGCCCAGCUUUUUCCUCCUCCUCUUCCUCACAUGCUUGCUGCUCCUUUUCUGUACUUUAUCAUUAUUGUUGUUUAUUCGAGGCCUCUGGAUCUUGGCUGCUCUUGUUUGAUAGUUUCCGCAGGCCUUUUGUAUCGCAUUUAUUCUUCAUCUGAAUUGUUUAGUGUCAUUGAGAAGUCUUUACUGCAAUAGACAAUUGUUUCACGGUGGUGGGAUGUUAUGGCAGCGUGUAGAAUACGACCGAGCCUGCGCAUCGAUAUGUUUUUCUUCUAGUAUUUUCCGACCUCGAUUUGGUAGCUUUUGCCACCGGGUGUCCUGGAGAAAUUUGCUGUACAAAGUCGUUGCGUGUGUGGGUAGAUGUCUGUACAAAUGGAAAAAUUGCUGUGAAUGCUCCAUGGAUGUGUGCAUCUGUCAGCAUUUCAGUCUUUGCCUUGCAAAUGCUAGUUUGCUUGAGUUGGUUGCUGACACUUCACAUCACCAAUACCCGGAUGAUUGUAGGUGGUUGUGAUAUUCUUACUCACCUAAUGCAUCAUUGCAAGGAACCUUACUUCAGUUUUGGCAAUCAGUACUUACAUUUUACUGAAGAGCACUACAUGGACACACUCUACUAGUUCAUCAGGAGAGCAUAUGCGUUUCACCCUUACAUGAAUGUUUGUUUUGUUCCUUUUGAUAAAUUUGUUGUUAUCAAUGAAGCAAAUUUUAACUUGAGCAUCUGAACUGAACCUCUGUGUGCAGGGGAUUUUCGCUAACUACAAGCAACCAUUCGCAAUUACUUACUUGGGGGCCUCCCUUAUGGUGAUCUACAUCCCGUUGGCAUUUCUGAAGGAUUUUAUAUACAGAUUGCUGAGAAGGAAUUCUGGAAGCAGCAAGGCCUCAAAAAUCGCGAGCAAAUCUUCAUUUGGCGGUAGCGCUCCUCUGAAGAAUGGUGAAUUUCAGAAGAUGCUGGAAAUGGAACCACAGAAAACCGUGGUGAUAAAAAUUACUGAUGUGGACAUUCCUGUACUAGAAGAGACGAAACCACUCAUCUGUGGAAUUGGUGAAUGUGAGGGUGGGGUUUUGAAGGAGCAACAGCUUUCCACCAAGGAGAUUGCAAUUUAUGGGUUGUAUCUUUGUCCCAUAUGGUUUGUCACAGAGGUAAAUUUUCCAGUUAUCUUGCCUGUUACUUAUGAUUCAUGAAAUAGUUUGGUUUCAGUCAUACAGACAGUAUUUUGAUCGAUACAGUUACUCAUCUUCUCUUAUGCUUUGGAUGCAGUAUUUGUCAAAUGCGGCACUUGCAAGAACCAGUGUGGCAAGCACUACUGUACUAUCUUCAACUUCGGGACUCUUCACCCUUUUCAUUGGUGUGCUACUGGGCCAAGAUUCCAUAAAUGCUGCCAAAGUUAUUGCUGUUUUUGUUAGCAUGGCUGGUGUGGCAAUGACAACUAUGGGCCAGACUUGGGCAACAGAUGAAUCAGAAGUAAGCAAUUCAGGGUGAGUGGGUUUACCCUGGCAAUUAAGCUUCUCAGCUGUGCAUUGGUACCAACUGCCAAGUGGCUGUAUACUGUCCAUACCUAAUUUAGCUUCUCACCUGUGCAUUGGUACCAACUACCAAGUGGGCUGUAUAUUGUCCAUAAUUAGCUUCUCAGCUGUGCACUUGCUUUCUUUUUAGUAAAGAUGGUUAGCUGCAAUCAAAUUAUUUUUCUUAAAAAGGAGAAACUAAAAGCAUUUGACAUUCCUGUUUCAUGGGGUAAUUAAUGAGGCUGUUUUUGGGGAUGAACUCAUCACUUUGCCAAUUGUCUAAUUCUUGAGCUUUACAACCACAGGGCCACACAGAGGACUCUUCUAGGAGACAUGUUUGGUCUUAUGUCAGCUAUGUCAUAUGGUCUAUUCACAGGUUGGUUAUUGCACUCUUCUCUUCAGUUUGUAGUCUAUUCACUGGUUGGUUGUUGCCUGAUCCUGAUUGUUUCACAUCAUUCCAGUGCUUCUCAAAAAGUUUGCUGGAGAAGGAUCAGAAAAGGUUGAUGUCCAAAAACUGUUUGGUUUUCUCGGACUUUUCAGUCUUUGUCUUCUCUGGUGGCUUGGUAAGAUUUUUCAUUUUUGCACAUUUUAUUGUUCUAAUAGUGCUCAGUAUUCAAAUAUUCAUUGAUAUAAAUAGCAUGUACUAAACAUAAACUGCUGACAUACAAGCCUUAUGGCAUUGGACGUGAGUCUCAUCGGAAGCUACAGGGACUGGCUGUAUUCACUCAUUCAUGACCCAAAAUGUUCUGUAUGUUGUGCAUGCAAGUAUUUUAUUUGGUAUUUUGGUCGAAUCGUCAGGAAUAGUUUUGUGUCGAGGUCCACAUGUACUUUGUAUGUAUUUAUAGUUUGUUCUUCCUGGUCUAAAUAUACCAAUAUGCUGAAGUGUUUGUAUCUUUUCAGUGUGGCCAUUAACUGCACUUGGCAUUGAGCCAAAGUUUACAAUGCCCCACUCAGCUAAAGUGGAUGAAGUGGUGCUGGCAAACGGCCUUAUUGGGAGUGUGCUAUCAGACUACUUUUGGUACGCAUUAAGAGAAGGCUAAUGUUUUUUUUUACAAUAUUGCAUAACUGCGGUGUUUUGACAACGUAACUUCUGCACAGGGCUCUUUCCGUGGUUUGGACUAAUCCCUUGGUGGCCACGUUAGGCAUGUCGCUCACAAUUCCACUAGCGAUGGUUGCUGACAUGGUCAUCCACGGCCGACAUUAUUCAGCAGUCUACAUUUUUGGCUCUGUCCAGGUAUCUAACUCUUUUGCCCUGCAUCUCAGAACUGUUUAUUUUAGGUUUUGUUGAAAAGCUAUAAUUCUAACCACUUCUGAUGCACAAAUACUGACAAAAACUACUGUUAUCAUUUCGAAAGUUGAAAUAGCUAUUGCCUAUUGGUAUCCCCAUGUUCAGUUCUCUGAACCUCUUUGCCUGCUCAAGAUCACUCUUACUUGCAUUUGCCAUCUGUUUUACUCUGUUUACCUGUGCUGCUCUUGCAGGUAUUUUCUGGGUUCGUCAUCGCCAAUCUUGCCGACCGCGUUUCACGUUUCUUAGGUCUAUAGUCGUGAAAUGUACAAGGUUGAAUCGGAGUGUACAUCUGGAAGGUUGGGUAGGGUUAGUAACGAAGUGUACAUUGGGUGUUUGGGUUAGUUAGUUAUAAGGACAGCUCUGUCUUCUCUGUAAAUCAUAAGGAUGGGGGAAAUGGCAUUGCAGCUCUGUUUCCUUUUUACCUUCGGCCCCCUUUACACGCAGGAAUGGAUAAUUUUGGUGUGGUGGAAUUGAAACAGUGAAAGCUUAGCAUACGUAAGGAACAUUAUGAAUUUAUGAUGUCGUGGCAGACCUUUGAAACUGUAAAUUCUUAGCUUUUGCUAUGCUAUGUUAACGCCUGUAUAGCGCAAAAAUUUUCAGCGCUCUCACAGAAAAAGAAAUUAAAUAAUCUUUGAGCACCAUACUUGAUGUGUGAUGGGACUACACUUCAAGAUAAAAAAUCGUAAUAAUGAAAGGUUAUGUUUUUUUAGGGGAUCAAAUGUUAUGUGCAUGCCUAGUUAAGGGCAAUCUUCCUUUUUUUUUGAGACAAAGGUCAAUUUCCCUAAACGGUGCCUGCAGCCGCGUUAGGUGGGCUGGCCCAUUUUUCUGUUUCAGUCUGUAUGUUUUUUUUUCUUCAGGGUGGGUCCAACCACUGACCUCCUGUAUCGAGGCGCAAUGCGCUAACCAACGGGCCGCUCAAGCUCGUCUGAUAUUUUUCAACAUUCUCAUUAUUUUAUUACUUCUACUUUUUCUUUCCUUUUUCCGUUUCUCCUUUUCUUUUCCUGGUUUGAUGAACAUUUUCUGCCAAAUUGAUGAGCUUUUCUCUAAAAGUUGAUGAAUUAUUUUUCAAAUUUCCAUGAUUUUUUUUUCAAAUUUGAUGAACCUUUUUCCUAUUCAAUGAACUUUUGUAAAAGUCGAUGAACUUUUUUCUUCAAAUCGAUGAACUUUUUUCAUUUUUUGAUGAUCUUUUUUCUAAUUUGAUUAACAUUUUUUCAAGCUUGGUGAACUUUUGCCAAUUUGGAUGAACCUUUUCCAAAUUGGAUGAAUUUUUUUCAAAUUGAUAAACUUUUUCCCAAUUCAAUGAACUUUUUUUAAAUUUGGUGGACUUGUUUCAUAUUCAAUGAACUUUUUAUCAAAAUUGAUGAACUUUUUUUCAAACUCACAAACUUUUUCCCGUUUUGAGUUUUUUUCAAAUUCAUAAAUCUUUUUGAGUUUGCGAUUUUUUCAAAAUAUAUUAUUUUUUUAAAUGAACUUCUUUUGAAUUCGUGAACCUUUUCGAUUUGGUGAACAUUUUUGUGAAUACGCGAACUUUUUUUGCAUGUUUGUGAACUUCAUUUGAAAUCUAUGAACAUGUUUUCAAAUAAUUGAAAAAUCUAAGCAUUAAAGUGUAAUGCCACGUCUACGUUUCUAUUCUUAAACAACCCGCGCUGUAAAUAGCGACUAGCAAUUAUUGGUCUAGUGGUUAGCAUCGCUAUAAAGAAGUUCGAUGGCGCGAGUUCGAAUUCCGGUUGAUAGACAUAUAUUUUGUUGUGUUUUUUGGCUUUGCGCUGUCGUGGGCCAGCCCACCCAGAGGUGCUGCGAGCGCCAGUUAGGUUGUGCGGCGCUGAAGGCGCGCAAUAGGAGGCCUCUCCCUAGUUGGUGUAGAGGCCAGGACAAUAAUUUUAAAUGAGGCUAUCAUGUCGCUUCCUUGUGGCCCACUCGGGCGGACCAUGUAACCUAGCGCCGCCACCAAAAGAACCUCCAAUCCUCUUGCCGCCGUCGGAGGAAGUUGUAGGGCGGAGCCGCUGACGUUGGCGGCGGGGACCUUUAUGCUUGUGUCGUGGGGGUGGCCCCGGGCAUGGCGGAGCCCCUCUCGGUGACGGUUGCGGCAACGUUUUGACGUGGCUACUCGGUUCCAUCAAGGCUGGGCCGUUGCCUGCCUCCUCGUCUGCGUGUGACGUUGGGUGUGCUAGGUGGUGGUGGCGUGCUUUGGUACGGUUGUGUUGGCGUCAAAUCACACGGUUGGGGAGCUGACUGAUCCUGGUUGGGAUCAGCAGGUUGGCGUCUAGCAUAGUCACGGGCUGUUUACGGGGGUUUGACGGAGUGGUUAGCAGUGAUUGGCUGAGAUUUGGUUUAAUGAGGCAGGCCCCACCAAUGAAAAUCGGGGGGAGGGGGGCAAUUAGUGGAGGACACGCAUGGAGGGUCCAUAAAAGUCCGUUGUUUCCCUCCGUGCGUGUAGUAUUAUCGCCCCAGGGAGGAUUGGGAUAUAGCAUGGAUAUGACUGGUGGGGCCAAUGUAGUGAGUUAGAGUAUCGAUUGAUCCCAUCCUAGAUUAUCUUUUUCCCGGUGCAUCAAACGGAUCCAGGGUUUAGUUUGACCAAGAUCGAUGAGUACAGGGUAUCGAUUUUAGAGAUGUAAGGUUGAUGAUUCAUUUGUGUCACACUAUACAAGCUCAUUAGCUCAGGGUUUAAAACAGACUUAACGAAUGCUCCAGAUUACAUGGAGAUGCGGUCUGUUCAGAUAGAACUUGAAAGUUGAGCCGUAUCUACCACAACUAUACGCAGGGAAAUCAAUCGCAACAACUCCAUGCCGUACACGUACGGGAUUAAAACAUAUUUCAACAGGCUCCAGUUCAUCGUCCGCGACAUCAACCCAGCAACAUUACUAGAUCCGUAGGUCGCGCAGUUCACCCAUGGCCAGGGUGCGCGGGACGGGUCGGAUCUCACGCCGGCGGCCUCCUAAGGCGGUCCGCGGCGGCGGCGAAGACAGGAUCAGCGCCCUCCCCGAUGAUCUCCUCCUCCUCAUCCUGCGCCGCGUCGACACCCGCACGGCGCUCGGCACUGCGUCGCUGUCCAGGCGCUGGUCCCGCCUCCCCGCCGAGCUCCCCGCCCUGGACUUCAGUGUCUUCGACGUGCUCCCGGAGCGCUACUGCAGCUGGCUCCGCCUCCAUCUCAGGAUCGACGACGCCACGGAUGAGAGUGUCCUGGCUAACUUGAUGAGGUACGAGCGCCGCGCCAUGCGCGCCCUAAUCGGCUUCAUCCAGAGCCGCCUCUUGUUGGACGCUCCCCGGAGGCUCCGCCGGCUGGGGCUCCAGUUCUUCUCCGCCGACAAUAACAGCGGCCUCAUCAACCGGCUCGUCGCCAAGGCCAUCGACGACUGGGGGGUCAGCAAUCUGGAGGCCGUCGCCGCGCCGUUCUACACGCAGCCGGCCGCCGCCCACGCCUUUCCCGGCCACGGCCUCUGCGAGCGUCCCCGCGCGUCGCGCCUGCGGAAGCUCAAGCUCGGGGGCUGCGCCGUGCUCCCGCCGCUUCACGAGCACGGCGCGCUCACCAAGCUCGUCCUGCAAGACAUGCCGGAGUCGGUGCCUGUCGCGGCCUACGAGGCCGUGCUCGCCUCGUGCCCGCAGCUGCAGGUGCUGCACCUCGUGUGCUGCCUCUGCCGCGGCGCCGAGGUCAUGACCGUCGACGCCCCAAUGUCGCGGAUCAGGGAGCUCGUCGUCGACAGGUGCGAGUUCCCGACGAUGAUACGCAUGGCGGCCCUUCCCGGCCUCGAGAGGCUGGCCUCGCUCGGAACCAGGGUGUCCUUCGCGGAGUCCGCCUCGUUUCCCCGCCUCAGCCAGUGCAACCUCGCCUGGUUCUCCGAUGCCCAGCCGACAAGGACGGUGCUCGACUUCCUCGUCCGACGGACCCCGGACAUUGCCAGCCUUAUGAUCCGAUUCACCGGACCGGAGAGGUGGAUCGUGCCGUGGAGCCACCACCCGUCGUCGCUGCUGCCUAACCUGACAAGGCUACUGGUCGCCGACGUGCCUUCGUCCUGGGACGUCUCGUGGCCCCGGCUCCUCCUCGAGACGGCGCCUUCCCUCGAGACCCUGCAUGUCCACGUCGCCGCCUGCGUGCAGGAGCCCGGCGAGGAGAUAAGCUGGGGGGCUGCCGUGCCCCGGCACCAUGGCCUCAAGGAGUUCGUGAUGGCCGGUUUCGGGGGCACGGCGAGGCAGGUUUACCUUGUCAGGUUCGUCAUGGGAGCGUGCACGGCGCUGCGGUGUGUCGCCGUGUUCAAGGAAGGGCAUGCUCGUGACAAGGGGCACUGGGACUGGGAGAUAGUGGUGCAGCCACACUCGUGGACCGACGAGGAGAGGAACAACUUGCUGGGCCAGAUCAUGGAUGGCGCUUCUUCCUCGGCUGCCUCGGUUCAAAUGGUUUUUGGCUGAGUUAGUUUUUCACGUGUGUUGUCUAUGGCUCAAUGGCUGGAACCUUCAAUAUGCGUCGGGUAGUUUAAUGGUCCCUUGGGAAAUACACUUUGAUUCCUGGUUAUAUACACCCUAUAUGAGGAUUUUUAAAUAAUUAAACAAAAAGGCAAAAUAGUUCAGAAGUUUUUUAAAAUAAAAUUGACUUACUUUUGCUCGGGUAUAUAUUUUUUACGAAAAAACAACAUUGACUAACAAAAAAAUUGUAAAUGUUUCUAACAAAAAAUUCAGUUUUUUUUAAAUUCCAUUUUUUGAUCUUACUGUUCACCCGAGCUCACAUGAGCUCGGGAUUAGAACAGCCACAUCCCCAUUAUGGUCAUGUACUCUCAUUCACUCCAAAAAAACCUAGUGCUCCCUAGAUUAGGAGCAUCCGCAUGUAUCUCGGGCUGUGGGGGUCACUAUGGACCCUGUCUGUAAGGCUGUGUGUCAUUGAUUGAGAGUAACACACACCUAGUUGUAUUGGGCCGACGGGUGUUUUUUGGUUUUUUGCAAUGUAUUACUUGUAUUUUUCUUUCUUUUCUAUUUAUCCUUUUCUAUUUUUUAUUAAUUCUUUUUAUUUUUCAUAUUAUAAUUCAUGAAUAUUAUUUUCAAACAUGAAUAUUUUUUAAAUAGACAAAUAUUUUUUCAAGUUCUUGAAUAUUUAUAAAGUUUGAGACAAGUUUUCAGUCUAUGAAUUCUUUUACAUUAGUUCAUCCUUUUCCAAAUUCCUGAACAUUAUUUGAAAUUAAUGAUUUUUUUAAAUUUCAUGGUUUUUUAAUUCAUGACAUUUUCUAAAAUCUGUGAACACACUUUUAUUUAACAACUCAUUCAAAUUAAAAAAUUGAUAGCCAUUUUGUUUUCUAAACUAGCAGUGAAGCAAGCGAGUGGAGCCGGGAGCCGAGCUGAGCAAAUGAGAUCUUCAUUGCUCGGCCCAUGUGAGCAUUAUGGCAGUAGUUUUACAAUUUCAACGUAGAACAAGAGUUUUUAAGGAGGAAAUACACAGGAGCACCUGGGUGCUCCACCGCCCAAAAAUAGGAGAAAAAACAUUUUUGAAAUCUUGGGAUAUGAAACUUGCGUGCCCAAUCUACUCCCCUGUGAAGUUUUAUAUGAAAAUACCAGGAAAUGUAUCUGUGGCGAAGAAAAUAAAGUCUGAACUAAAAUCCAUCUAAAUAGUUUUUUUUCUAUACAUAGGACUUUUUUGGUCUUUUUGCCACAGAUAUGUUUCCUGGUAUUUUUUCCUGAAAUUUCACACAAAUAUAGACUGGGCACCCAGGUUCCAUAUCCCAAAAUUUCAGUUUUUUUUUUGAAAUUUCUCAGUAUUUUUUAAACUUAAUGUUCAUAUAGGGGUGUGUAGUGCCCAAGCGCUACAAAUACUCUUCCCUUUCAAGGGCUAGUUAUUUUGCUGGGCUUCCAGAAUAAGCUGCUCCUACCCAAUUUAUUCUAGAAGCCCAACCAAUUUUUUUUUAGUAAAAGCUUAUUCUAGAAGUCAGCAAAAGAACUGGCCCCAAAUAUAGAAGGGGCUCACACAACCAACGCAGGCUACACCAAGGCCCAAAUAUGUAUCUUCUUAGAACAAAUACUGCCUCAACUGCAGCCCAUCACGAUAUGCAAAUGAAAGGAACACCAGUGGCGGCGCCAGCCUCAAGAAUCUGUGGGGUCAAUGGAUUUUUUUCUUCACGGUGAACAGGAAGUGAACAGUGAUUCUAGGCUGUUUUUCAAAAAAGCCCGACCCCACAGCUUACACAUAGAUUCGCCUCUGACCACCGUAACAUAAUUAAAAUCCAAGCCAACGUAAAUAAAACCAAAACCAAACAACUGACUGCAAUAACCUGAAAGAGCUGAUCCCACGAGUGAAUCAUCUGAUGUAUAGUUUCAGGUGGGUGACGGAUGGGUGAUUGGUUGCAAGUACCAAUCAUUCCAUUCAGUAAACAGUCGCUUACUACUGUAGUAUUGUCCUACUCUAGUACUCCCACUUGGCCACUUGUAUUUCUGCUUUGCUUUGUUUGAUUCAAGCUUUAAUUAAGCCGCAUUUCAUACUCAAACAUGAAAUUACUUGUCGAUCGUUCCCUCAUUUGCGAAUCCGCACGUCCGUUAAUGCUGCGGCGUAAGUGCCAUUAAUUCAGACGUGCACGGUCCGACUUUGGAGAUGGGAUUGUACGGCAUGAAGAUAGGACCAAAUAAUUGAUGAGAAGUUGAGAGCACACGGUGACCGAGUGGCUUCGGUUUGGCAUCUUGAAACCUAAAAAACCUACUGAGUGCAACGUAUAUUUCUUGAUCGAGAUGCGUGGGCAUGCAUUCGUCACUCGCUAGCAGAGUACGGUAACAAAAAAAAAA
Molecule: long non-coding RNA, 67084 nt
Filed under: Triticum aestivum (bread wheat)
Lineage: Eukaryota; Viridiplantae; Streptophyta; Magnoliopsida; Poales; Poaceae
Description: long non-coding RNA (TAES_LNC021458)
Source: RNAcentral